This 59871-nucleotide long non-coding RNA is filed under the name Triticum aestivum (bread wheat). RNAcentral describes it as "long non-coding RNA (TAES_LNC006794)". The stretch from base 54504 to 54638 matches the Rfam family "MIR1120/MIR1122 microRNA precursor family". Lineage: Eukaryota; Viridiplantae; Streptophyta; Magnoliopsida; Poales; Poaceae. The record is from RNAcentral.
GCGUCUUCAACCUGGCAUUCUUAUCACCAAUAGUAGUGGUAUCCUCAACAGAGGGGUUAGUUACCACAUCAACAGUUGAAGAUAUCUCAACAGUAGUAGCAGUAGAACAUUCAGCAAUAGAGGCAGCGUUAUCACGCUCAAUGCAUUUUAAACAUGGUGGUUCAAAUCCUUCCUGAGCGGGACUGAUCUGUUGAGCGCGGAGUGACUUGUUUUCUUUUUCAAGAUCUUCAUGAUCCGAUCUCAAUUUCUCAAGCUCCUGCUUCCUUUGAAGAUAAUCAUAGGAAAGCUUUUCAUGAGAGGUGGAGAGUGUCGGUGUCAAAACCGGCGGAUCUCGGGUAGGGGGUCCCGAUCUAUGCGUCUUAGGCUGAUGGUAACAGGAAGUAAGGGACACAAUGUUUACCCAGGUUCGGGCCCUCUCGAUGGAGGUAAAACCCUACUUCCUGCUUGAUUAAUAUUGAAGAUAUGAGUAGUACAAGAGUAGAUCUACCACGAGAUCGUAGAGGCUAAACUCUAAGAGCUAGCCUAUGAUGGUAUGAUUGUAAUUGUGAUCGUCCUUCUAAGGACCAUGCUCUCUGGUUUAUAUAGACACUGGAGAGCUAGGGUUUACAUGGAGUCGGUUACAAGGAAGGAAAUAUAAUAUCCGGAUCGCCAAGCUUGUCUUCCACGCAAAGGAGAGUCCCAUCCAGACACGGGCCAAAGUCUUGAGUCUUGUAUCUUGACGCUCCUAUAGUCCGGACGAAGUGUACAGUCCGGCUGUCCGGAUACCCCCUUAUCCAGGACUCCCUCAGAGAGCGUCUCAUGUCGACCUUCAAGUUCUUGGUACUUAACAUGAAGAUUUUUUAUGUCUUCAAUUAAGGACUGGGUCUUAGUCAUUUCCGAGUCCAAUAGGUCAUCGCUUUUGUCUAACAAUUUUUGAAUAUGUUCCAUAGCUUUCUGUUGUUCAGUUGCAAUUUUAGCAAGUUUUUUGUAACUAGGUUUGGAUUCACCAUCAGAGUCAUCUUCACUUGAUGCUUGAAAGUAAGCAUCGCGUGAGUUUACCUUGGCACCACGUGCCAUGAAACAGCAGGUGGGAGCCGAGUCGUUCUCGUCAUCAGCGUUGGUGACAGAGCCAUUGUCUUCAGUGUUGAAGAUGGACUUGGCGAUGUAAGUUGUAGCUAGAGCCAGACUUGCGACACCAGAGUCGGACUCCUCCUCGGACUCCACCAUCGCCUCCUCAGAAGCAGACUCCUCUAAAUCCAUCUCCUUGCCAACAAAAGCACGUGCCUUGCCCGAUGAGCUCUUCUUGUGUUACGAAGACUUGGAAGAAUAUUUGGAAGAAGACUUUGAGGAUUUCUUCUUUUUCUUGUCAUCAGAAUCAUAUUCUUUGCUCUUCUUCUUCUUCUUUUCAUUGUCCCACUGUGGACAUUCAGAAAUGUAGUGGCCAGGUUUCUUGCACUUGUGGCAGGUUCUUUUCUUGCUGUCAUGGGUGGAAGCUUCAUCAUUCCUUGAGCUGGAUCGUGAAGAUUUUCUGAAGCUUCUCUUCUUAGUGAAUUUCUGGAACUUCUUCACAAGCAUAGAAAGCUCCUUUCCAAUGUCUUCAGGAUCACCGGAACUGCAGUCAGAUUCUUCUUCAGAUGAGGAAGCGGCAUCCUUUGCCUUCAAAGCACGAGUUCGGCUAUAGUUGGGGUCAUAGAUAUCUCGUUUCUCAGAUAGCUGGCACUCAUGUGUGUUGAGCCUCUCAAGUAUGUCUGACGGAUCGAGUGUCUUGAAAUCAGGAUGUUCUUGUAUCAUCAGUGCUAAGGUGUCAAAUGAGCUGUCAAGAGAUCUCAGCAUUGUCUUCACUAUUUCAUGCUUCGUAAUGUCAGUUGCACCGAGUGCUUGGAGCUCAUUUGUGAUAUCAGUGAGGCGAUCAAAUGUGAGUUGGACGUUCUCAUUGUCUUGUCUCUUGAAGCGGUUGAAGAGGUUGCGGAGAGUACUGAUUCAUUGAUCUCGCUGAGUUGAGACGCCUUCAUUGACCUUGGAGAGCCAGUCCCAGACUAGCUUCGACGUUUCCAGAGCGCUCACACGGCCAUACUACCCUUUGGUCAGAUAAUCACAGAUGAUUAUCUUGGCUGUAGAGUCCAGUUGAAUGAACUUCUUGACAUCAGCAGGGGUGACACCUUCACGAGUCUUGGGAACGCCAUUCUUGACGACAUACCACAGAUCGACAUCAAUGGCUUCAAGAUGCAUGCGCAUCCUAUUCUUCCAGUAGGGAUAUUCAGUGCCAUCAAAGAUGGGGCACACAUCGGAGACUUUGAUUAUCCCUGCAGUCGACAUAGCUAAAACUCCAAGUGGUUAAACCGAAUCACACAGAACAAGGGAGUACCUUGCUCUGAUACCAAUUGAAAGGGCUAGUUAUCGACUAGAGGGGGGAUGAAUAGGUGAUUUUUAUGUAAGUCUUCAAUACAUGGGAGUUUCGAAGACAAACAAUAGAAACGACACUAUUCGUAUGCAGCGGAAGGUAGACUACACUAAGCAAGCCAUAGUCAAGUAUUCAAUGAAGUUAAAGCACGAAGACUAUUAGGAGCUAGGUAGUAAAGAUAAGGAUGGAAGAUAGUAUGAAGCCAAUCAAGACAAGUAGUCACACAGUGAAGUCAAACAGAUAAUGCAAGCAUGCAAUGACUUCAUGAAGACAAACUGUAAGUAAAGAGAAGUGAGAGAUAGAACCAAUAGCUUCAGGAGGACAGGGGUUUGUUCGACCAGUUCCAGUUGCUGUGACAACUGUACAUAUGGUUAGGGAGUCUGAGAUUUAACUCAGAAGACCGCGUCUUCACCUUAUUCCCCUUGAGCUAAGGACUCUUAGUCCCCGCCCAAUCACUCUGGUAAGUCUUCAAGGUAGACUCCCAAACCUUCACAGACUUCGUUCACCGGCAAUCCAGAAUGACUCUUGGAUGCUCAAAACGUGAUGCCUAACCGGCUGGAGGAUUCACAGUCGUCAAGUGAAAUAAGUCUUCAGAUCAUGCGGAUAGAAAGACUUCAGUGAUGCCAAACACUCUUUGGGCUCUGGGUGGUUUGGGCUUUGUCCUCGCAAGGAUUCUCUCUCAAAAGCUUCGGAGGUGGGUUGCUCUCAAACGACGAAAGCCGUAUACUAACUCCGAGCAGCCACCAAUUUAUGGUGUAGGGGGUGGCCUAUUUAUAGCCACUAGGCAACCCGACUUGAUUUGUCCGAAAUGACCCUGGGUCACUAAGGAACUGACACGUGUCUCAACGGCCAGAUUUCAAACACACGCGGUAGCUUGACUUGGGCUACAAGUAAAGCUGACUCAUCCGACUCUGGAUAAGAUUUGCUCUCGUUGUCUUCGCUCGAAGACAUAGGAUUUAGUUGAGCAUCACUUCAGUCACUCUGACUUUGUUCACUUGGACCACUUAACAGUGUGGUGGUUCCUAUGACUCAACAAAGAAGAAAAGAAACAACGAAACAGCUAAGUCUUUGUGCUCCAUAGUCUUCAGACGUUGUCUUCUCAUGUCAUAGUCUUCAACGUGAUUAGCUUCAUAGACCACCAUUGUCUUCAAUGUCUUCACACAUUUUUAGGGGUCAUCUCCGGUAGGUAAACCGAAUCAAUGCGGGACUACUACCUGUGUUAUCCUGCAAUUCUCACGAACACAUUAGUCCCUCAACUAGGUUUGUCGUCAAUACUCCAAAACCAACUAGGGGUGGUACUAGAUGCACUUACAGUACGAUAGCACCACCUAUCGGAACCACGACAAAAACAUCCGUGUCUCCAAUUGUGUUUGCACACUCCAAUCCCAUCCCUUUACAUUCUUGCAAGUUGCAUGCUUUACUUUCCGCUGCUCAUAUACUCUUUGCAUGCUUGCUUGUUAUGUAUUGUGAUUGUUAAACUUGUGCCAAAACUCCACUUGAACUUAAAGAAAUUAAAAACUGCAACUUUUCUCACUUAGUGUCUAAUCACCCCCCCCCUCUAGACACCUCUUCUCGAUCCUUUCAAUUGGUACCAGAGCUUUGGUCUCCAUUGCUUUGGUUUAAUCACCAUUGGAGGAAGAUGGAUGAGUCUACUUUGGGGAGUCUUAGACAUAGAGUGCCUAUACUUGAUGGAGAGUACUUUUAUGAGUGGAAAAAUGAGAUGCUUGUGAUUUUCAAUGAAUAUCAUUUGAACAAGUACAUUGCUAGCCCUUGUGCAUCUCAUGUUGAUCCUAUGCAUCCUACUCUUGAUGAGUCAAUUGACAUGAUUCACAAUCUUAGAACUGUUGAUCUUAUCACUAGAGGUUUGCCUAGAAACUUGAUAGGUUGCUUGCCUACUCUUAAGUGUGCCUACACCAUAUGGAAAUAUCUUGAGGAACGAUUUCCAAAUCAUUCCUUGAAAAAUCUACAUGAAAUUCUCCAUAAGUCUAUUGCCUUGAGUAAGACGAAAUCAAAUGAUCCUAUGUUUGGUGGUUGUCUAUUUAAGCUUACAAAUCUUAUGCGUGCCAAAGGAGAUGUUGGAAUCAUGAGCAAUAUUAUUUCCGAAGCCACUAGAAUUAAUAGAGAAGAUCAUUGUCAAACUCACUCUAACGAAUCACCCUCUCUAGAAAUUGAUCCACCACAUGACUAUGUUGAACAUGGAUACUAUGAUGAGGAUGAUGAUAGUGACUUUCAUCUUGAUGAUGCAAUGAGACACUUUGGUCUUAUGACAAAUUUUUGGGGAUAUAUGGCAGGAGGAAAGGAAUGGGUUCUUGAUAGUGGAUGUACCGAUCACAUGACUGGAGAUAAAGAUAUGUUUCGUGAGCUUGCUGAAAAUGACGGCCCUCGAAAGUAUGUCACUUUUGGUGAUAACUCAAAGGGUAAGGUGGUUGGCCUCGGUAAGGUGGCCAUCUCACAUGAUAGCUCCAUACAAAAUGUCAUGCUCGUUGAAUCUCUUGGCUACAAUUUACUUUUCAGUAUCUAGACUUGCUGAUUUCGGUUUCAAUGUCCUAUUUACUGAAGUAGAUUGCCAAGUAUUUCAUAGAGAUAAUCAUAAAAUGGUCUUUACCGGUAUACGUAGAGGUGAUCUUUACAUUGUUGAUUUCACUAAAAAGGCUCAACCUAGAACUUGCUUUAUUGCCAAAUCCUCUAAAGGUUGGUUAUGGCAUAGACGAUUAGGUCAUGUGGGCAUGCGAAACCUUGACAAGCUUAUUAAAGGAAAUCAUAUCCUUGGCGUUAACGAUGUCAUAUUUGAUAAGGAUAGACUUUGCAACGCUUGUCAAGCAGGUAAACAGGUUGGAGGAAGGCAUCCCGUGAAGAACAUCAUGACCACAAGGAGUCCACUUGAGCUACUUCAUAUGGAUCUUUUUGGUCCCAACGCCUACAAAAGUCUCGGCGGAAAUUCUUUUGGUCUAGUUAUAGUUGAUGAUUUUUCAAGAUUUACGUGGGUGUUCUUUCUCGAUGAUAUUUCAUAGGUCCAAAAGAUCUUCAAAAACUUCGCUAGGAAGGCCCAAAAUCAAUUUGAAGUGAAGAUCAAGAAGGUUCGCAGCAACAAUAGAAUGGAGUUCAAGAACGCAAAUGUGGACACCUUUCUUGACGAAGAAGGGAUUUCACAUGAGUUCUCGGCUACGUACACACCUCAACAAAAUGGAGUUGUUGAGAGGAAGAUCCGGACGCUCAUCGAAAUGGCAAGAACGAUGCUUGAUGAGUACAAGACGCCUAAGCACUUUCGGGCGGAAGUGGUUGAGACAGCUUGUCACGCAACAACUCGCUUGUAUCUUCACAAGUUACUCGGCAAGACGACAUACGAGCUCCCACCGGUAACAAACCCCAAGUUGGAUACUUUCAAGUAUUCGGCUCAAAGUGCUACAUUCUUGAUAAGCAUCGUCGUUCUAAAUUUGCUCCUAAGUCUCAUGAAGGUUUCCUACUUGGUUAUGGCUCAAACUCUCACACUUAACGUGUCUACAAUAAUUUCACUCGAAAGGUUGAAGAGAUGGUAGAUGUGAAGUUUGAUGAAUCUAACGGCUCGCAAGUAGAGCAAUUGCCAAUUGAUGUAGGAUACAAAGACCCUUCGAAAGCAAUCCAAGACUUGUAUAUUGGCAAGAUUCGUCCAACGGAGGUGAAGGAGAGUACCUCGUCCGUCCAAGUGGAAGCUUCCACCUCACGACAAGCUGAACCAAGAGUUGAUACGGAAGCAUCCACAAGUGGGACACGCCAAGACAAAGAAAACGAGGAAGUACACCAAGAUGAACAUCAAAAACCUCCUUCUCCACCACGACAAGAUAACGACAACGUCAACAAUGAAGAAGCCCAAGAAUAAGAACAAGAUGAAGAAGAUGUUCCACCAAGAUCCAAGCAAAAUCUUUCACGAGUUCGAGCAAGAGUCACCAGAGACCAUCCCGCCGAGCAAAUCUACAAUGAUAUCCAAACCGGGAGAAUCACUCGCUCUAAAACGCAUUUAGCUAACUUUUGUGAACAUUAUUCAUUCAUCUCUAGCAUUGAACCUAUGAAGGUUGAGGAAGCAUUGGAAGAUCCGGAUUGGAUAAACGCCAUGCACGAAGAGUUACACAACUUUGAGAUAAAUCAAGUUUGGACAUUGGUUGAGAAGCCCGACAACAACCACAACAUUAUUGGUACCAAAUGGGUGUUUCGAAACAAGCAAUAUGAAGAUGGACAAGUAGUUCGCAACAAAGCACGUCUCGUCACCCAAGGCUACACUCAAGUCGAAGGUAUGGACUAUGGUGAGACAUACGCCCCCGUUGCUAGACUUGAGUCCAUUCGCAUCUUACUUGCCUAUGCUAAUCACCAUGAUAUCACCUUCUACCAAAUGGACAUUAAAAGUGCUUUUCUAAAUGGUGAAAUAGAGGAGUAAGUUUAUGUUAAGCAACCUCCUAGCUUUGUCAAUCCUAAGAAACCUAAUCAUGUGUACAAACUUCAAAAAGCUCUUUAUGGUCCCAAACAAGCUCCUAGAGCUUGGUAUAAAUGCUUGACCAAGUUCCUUAUUGAAAAAGGCUUUGAAAUUGGAAAAAUUGAUUAUACUCUUUUUACUAAAAGGGUUAAUGGAGAACUUUUUGUGUGCCAAAUCUAUGUUGAUGAUAUUAUAUUUGGUUUGACUAACCCUCUUUUUAGUUAGAAGUUUGGAAAGCUAAUGUCAGAGAAGUUUGAGAUGUCUAUGAUGAGUGAACUCAAAUUCUUUCUUGGUUUGCAAAUCAAGCAAACUAAGGAAGGUACAUUUGUCUCUCAAACAAUUUACACUAAGGACUUAUUCAAGAAGUUCAAUAUGCAAAAAUGCAAAGGUAUGACUACACCCAUGCCUACUAGUGGACAUCUUGAUUUGACCAAAGAUGGUGAACCGGAUGAUCAAAAGGUUUAUCGCUCUAUGAUUGGUUCAUUGUUAUAUCUAUGUGCUUCAUGUCCCGAUAUUAUGCUAAGUGUGUGCAUGUGUGCACGAUAUCAAGCCGCUCCUAAAGAAUGUCAUCUUAAGGCCGUGAAAACGAUAGUGAGAUACUUAAUUCAUACACCAAAUUUUGGCAUUUUGUAUCCAAAGAGGGCCUCUUUCAAUCUUGUUGGCUACUCCGACUCGGACUAUGCCGGUGACAAGGUUGAUAGAAAGUCCACUUCGGGUACUUGUCAAUUUCUUGGUAGAUCUCUUGUGUCUUGGUCUUCCAAGAAACAAAACUCGGUAUCCUUAUCCACCGCCGAAGCGGAAUACAUUGUCGCUGGUUCAUGUUGUAUUCAAUUACUUUGGAUGACCCAAACUCUUAAGGAUUAUGGGAUACAUGUGAAACAGGUUCCAUUACUUUGUGACAAUGAAAGUGCUAUCAAGAUUGCUCACAAUCCCGUGUAACACUCUCGAACUAAGCAUAUUGAAGUUCGUCAUCAUUUCAUUCGAGAUCAUGUUGCCAAGGGUGACAUUAACCUUAAGCAUGUUCGUACCGACAAGAAAUUGGCGGAUAUACUCACUAAACCACUUGAUGAGAAAGUGUUUUGCAUGUUGAUAGGUGAAUUGAACAUCAUUUAUGCUUCAAACUUGGAGUAGAAACUUCAUUUGGAUACAUUCAAGGCAUGAGCCUAUGACUAAUCCUUGAUAUUUCUCUUGUGAUGAUAAUCUUAUGCCUUGGAUAUAUUUGCACCUUGAAUGUUAUCUAACCCUUGUAGGUACUUGGAUGAAUCUAAACCUAUGAGAUUGCAACACACUCACAUCUCGAGCAAUCUCUUUAUCACCAAGUCUCUACACAACGGUGGUUGAAGACAAGGAAGCACGAAACCCUUUUAACAUAUCCUUUGACAAAUUCUGUUUUGAACUUUAUGAUUGUCAUUUUGGAUACACAAGUGCUCUUCCUUGAAAAACUAACACAUGUAGGUAGAUGAACUCACAUUCCAAGUGGUGCUCCCAACUCUUGAUGAGCUACAUCAACUUUGAGCAAUCCACACAAGUUCAACUACAUGAUCACGAUCAACACCACCACCCAAGGUAUGUUAUUCCAUCUUAGAGAAGCUUUACUCCAAGUCAUGAGUCAAAGCAACUCAACAAGAUGUGAAUACAUCAAAAUGCUUAAAUGAAAAAUGGUAACCCCAUUUUCAGCUUAAAAGAUGAGUAUGACCUAUGAUCAAGUGAUCUCACUUGACUCCUAUGUCAAUAUACUCUAACAUAGGUGACUUUGUCGCCGACCAAUUCUAGAUGAAGUUCUCUCGUGGUCCUUUCUGUGCUCUUGCAUUGGUCUCAUGCAUAUUUGUUUCCCCUUUCAAAAAAACUUCAUCUAGAUUUCUUUUCUUUUAUUUUCUUUUCUGCAUUCCCUGCAUCCAAUUCAUUGGAAAUCUUUCAGUUAAUUCCUUGCAAAUCCUUGUGAGAUCUUGCUUGUCUAGUGAGCUGAGGUGACAUGUGUUUUCUCUGUCAUGAACUCGGUCACACCGGCCUGUUGCGUUCGGUCCAACCGAAACCUUUCGGUGCAACCGAAGCAUACAACUCGGUGCCACCGGUUUCACUAUAGGAAAAACAACUUGCCACUUGUUCCUAUGUUCUUAUUGAUCCAGCUCCACUCAAUGAUUCUUGUCCUCUACCAGCAUCACAUUCAACUGGCUGCUUUGUUCUGUGACUCAAGGACCAAACCCAUUCAUGACAAAAAUCCAGAAGAACCCUUCUUGGAAAUUGGUGUCAAAGGGGGAGAGAGAGAUCACAUCAAAGCUUAAUCAUAUCUAUAGGGGGAGAGAAUACUCAAGGGGGGAGAGAGUAAUCAUCAAGGACCCUAGAUGCUUGGUGUUCAAGAGGAGAGAAUUCACAUGUCUUUAUGAGGGGAAAGACAUGUUCAUAUUUGUUUGCUUGCAUUAGCUCUGUUUCUUUUCUUUGAGCUCUGAUUUUCUGUUCCCUAUCUUCUCCCAGUAUCCCAUGCUAGAUUCAGGGGGGUGUCGGUGUCAAAACCGGCGGAUCUCGGGUAGGGGGUCCCGAACUGUGCGUCUAGGCGGAUGGUAACAGGAGACAAGGGACACGAUGUUUUACCCAGGUUCGGGCCCUCUUGAUGGAGGUAAAACCCUACGUCCUGCUUGAUUAAUAUUGAUGAUGUGUGUUACAAGAGUAGAUCUACCACGAGAUCAAGGAGGCUAAACCCUAGAAGCUAGCCUCUGGUAUGAUUGUUUUCCGUCCUACGGACUAAAGCCAUCCGGUUUAUAUAGACACCGGAGAGGGCUAGGGUUACACAGAGUCGGUUACAAUGGUAGGAGAUCUACAUAUCCGUAUCGCCAAGCUUGCCUUCCACGCCAAGGAAAGUCCCAUCCGGACACGGGACGAAGUCUUCAAUCUUGUAUCUUCAUAGUCUUGGAGUCCGGCCGAUGAUGAUAGUUCGGCUAUCCGGACACCCCCUAGUCUAGGACUCCCUCAGGGGGCAAGACACAUAAGGGAAGGAAAUCCUUGUUUGCUUGCAUUAGCUCUGUUUCUUUUCUUUGAGCUCUGAUUUUUUGUUCCCUAUCUUCUCCCAGUAUCCCAUGCUAGAUUUAGGGUGAGUAAGACACAUAAGGGAAGGAAAUCCUUAAAUUCAUUGCACAUAUUUACCUUUGGGGACAUGUCUAUAUCCAAUGGGGUACUCAGUACUCACUCUCUACAUGUCAACCCAGUCUUAGUACUCUUGUGGUUUCUUUUGUUUGCUCUGGCUAGUAGGUGCAUAUGUGUUAUCUAACCUUGCUUACGCAGGUUCAUUCCAUCCUAAGCCAACUCAAGACCACAAGGUAAGUAUAUGCAUCACAGUCAUGUGUAUGAGGAUCUCUUGUUGAUGUACAUAUUGUUUGCAAGAAGGACUCACGAGCAUGAAGGUACAUUUCCCAUAUUCACAUCUUUUGCUCUGAUGCAUAUAGCCAAGAUACAUGUAACACAUUGCUUACUCUGUCAUGCUUAUGCAUUCACAUGCUCCUAUAUUCCAUAUUUACAUGAUUGCAUACAUGUAGGGGGAGCUUAUGCAUGUUACAUGUCUUUCCAAAGCUUUACUUGUUAUUCUCUAUAUCUUUAUCUAAGGAUUUGAUGUAUGUUGUCAUCAAUUACCAAAAAGGGGGAGAUUGAAAGCACAAGUGCUCCCUGGGUGAUUUUGGUAAUUAAUGUCAACAUAUCUCUUGUUGGACUAACACUUUUACCUAGUAUGUUUCAGAUAAGUUCAACAAUGGAGUGGCAUGGACUAGAGGAUGUGGAACCCCUUCAAGACGCUAAGGACAAAGGAUUAGCUCAAGCUCAAAACACAAGACUCUACACUUUCUAUUUUAGUGAUCCAAGAUCACAUUGAGUCUAUAGGAAAAGCCAAUACUAUCAAGAGGGGAUGAGGUGUUGCUUAAUGGCUUGCUUGCUCAAAGUGCUUAGUGAUAUGCUCCAAAGCCCUCAACUACCUUCUCACAUCCACAUAUGAACCAAACCAAAAGUCAAACUCGGCCCCACCAAUUUUUUCUAUCCGGCGCCACCGAGUUCAGAUGUCAUAGCCACUGCCACAAACCCUAGUCUUUUCGGUCUCACCGAUGGGGAUCUCGGUCUCACCGAGAUGGGUGUCGGUGUCAAAACCGGCGUAUCUCGUAGUAGGGGUCCUAAGCUAGGAGUCUUCGAGCGACGGUAACAUGGACACUGGGUUUUACCCAGCUUCGGGCUCUCUUGAAGAGAUAAUACCCUACAUGCUGCUUUUGAUUGUAUUCGUAUGGGUAUUGUACAGAGUACCUGUAUCUACCACGAGAUUGUAGUAAUGAAUAUGAGAUUGUCUAUCGACUAGCCUGGCCUCGGUUUAUAUAACACACUGGAGGUCUAGGGUUUAGGAGAGUCCUUGUCUUGGGCGCCAAGUCUUGUGGAGUCCUUCUUGUAUGCGACAUGGGUUGUCCGAACUGGCCUAUGAAUAUACGGUCAUGGGGGUCCUCGGCCCAAUCUAACUGAUCGGGAGACGACGUGGUGAGUACCCCCUAGUCCGGGACACCGUCAGUAGCCCCCUGAAUCGGUCUUCAAGUUGAGGACGCUCCUCGAUUCUUCCGAACUGUUCUUUAUCUUCGGUCGUCGGUCUUGAAAAGUGGUUCAACAAAUCUUCCCAUCUUCCAUCUUGAGGAUCGCCAAAGUGAAUCCGAAGAGUUUACACGUCGGGUACCGGAGGAGCCCCUUUAAGUCCUUGGCCUUUAUCAAUGCCUUAUUAUUUUUAUGCCACACCUCGGGUUUGAAGUUGUUCCCGGGCGGCAGUGUCCUCUUGUGUCCGAGCUCCAAUACCAGACUACAUUCGAGGUAUCUUUUGCAUCCGAGCACCAACGCUGGACCGCUUCUGAGCUCCAGCGCCGGAAUGUAUCUGAAGAGUAUUGUUACAGCCGAGCUCCAAUGCCAAACUCUAUCCGAGCUCCAGCGUCGGAUUAUAUCCAAGCUCCAACGCCGGACUGUGUCCAAGCUCCAACGCCGGACUAUAUCCAAGGUGUCAUAGAUCACCUAGGUUCAAAAAAAGUUAAAGGAGUUUAUGCCGGACUGCGUCCGAGGUGGUGCACUACCCCAACCGCGGGCUGAUUUUUGACUGGUGCGAUUUAUUCUCUGUCGAGAUAUAUAGCCAGUAUAUGUAUAUCCAAGAGCCCUUAAGGUGUGUGUUAGUCUAAAACCCGAGAUGCACCUGAAGGAAAACAUGAAACCGCUGUUCCUAGUAGCCCGUGAGACUCAGGUCGAUGCGCGAAAUCGGCCUGAGGAUCAACUCCUAGCUCGGCAGCAUACGUAGGAAAUAGAAACGCAGUGUAAUAUAUUAGAGAUAAUAGUGAUCGAUGAAUGGGCCCUUGAGAGAGGGUAUUGAGAGGUUGCCGUAAUAUACCAGCUUGAUGCCAGAAAGGUCCAUAUGGUACCUAUUAUUGUCUGAAGACGCGUUUGCGCAUAGUUUGGUCAAGCCGGACACUGAGCACUUUGAAUUUUCUGCAUUGAAUAGGCAAUGCAGUAGCCGCCGAGACACUGGUCGGGUGGCAAUACCAGAUCAGGGGAUCGAUGUGCCCCUUUAAUAUUUGUAAAUAAUAAGCCCAAAGCCCAGUAGCCCCAGAGCCUUAAUGUGGGCACGGGUGGCCGAAUUAAGGAUCGAUAUCCAUAGUAUAAUCACAAAUUAUGUGUAAUGACUAUGUAUCCAAGUACUUUACAUCAUUAAUGCUCGGAUCCAUAUUGUACAAACCUUUGUUGACCGACCAUCGGCUUCAACCUCUUCGGCCAGUAGCUGAGGAGUGUUUUCCUACUUUAUGAAGCCGUUAUAAGGGCAAAGAUUUAUGGAAAACAAGGCAAUCUGGCCAUACGGUUUUAUAAGCAAAGGUACACGGAGAGAUAUGUUAUAUUACGUAAUGUAAGAAACAUCUUCCAAGGAAAAUAAUCCCGCUAUCGGUUCCUUUCUUUGGGUCGUCAUGCUUAUCGUGAUCAUGAAACCUCACCUCCGGUCAAUGUGGGAGGAAAAUAUUGAGGAUUUAGUUCGGGAAAAGUUCCCGAACUCUAUGUUAUUAAUGAACCAAAAAUUUCACUUCUGUCAUUUCCGACCAAUGUGAUCCUUUAAGAUUGCUAGCUUUCGGCUUCACCCAGUCUGAGGUACUUACUCGGAUGACCUAGUAGUAACAAUCACAGAGGUGCUCCCUUUACCACCUAGCCGAACAAUCGGGAACGUAGGGGUAAGCACAGAAGCAAGGUAGCCCAAUCCUUUUGAGGCAAAGGACAGGCCAAAACAAGUCUCUUAUGAUAAGCAAAGUGUUCUCGAGGGUACACGGGAAUUUCAUCUAGUCACUUUCAACAUGUUGGAUCGAUUCGUGUUCGCUACUUUGAUAAUUUGGUAUAUGGGUGGACCAGUGCUUAGGUGUUGUUCUUACUUGCGCAAACCUCGUACUUAUGAUUAACCCCCUCGCAAGCAUCCACAACUACGAGAAAAGUAUGAAGAAUAAACUCUAACCAUAGCAUUAAACUUUUGGAUCAAAUCGGCCACUUACAGUCUAGCGCAUAAACUAGGGUUUAAGCUUCUGUCAGUCUCGCAACCCAUCAUCUAAUAAUUACCCCCACAAUGCAUUCCCUUAGGCCCAAAUAUGGUGAAGUGUCAUGUAGUCGACAUUCACAUGACACCACUAAGGGAAUCACAACAUACAUAUCAUCAAAACAUCGAACACAUAUCAAGUUCACAUGAUUACUUGCAACAUGAUUUCUUCCAUGACCUCAAGAACAAAAAAGUAACUACUCACAAUGAUAAUCAUGCUCAAGAUCAGAGGAGUAUUAAAUAGCAUAAUGGAUCUGAACAUAUAAUCUUCCACCAAAUAAACCAUAUAAUAAUCAACUACAAGAUGUAAUCAACACUACUAGUCACCCAUAAGUACCAAUAUAUAGUUCCGGUACAAAGAUUGAACACUAGAGAUGAACUAGGGUUUGAGAGGAGAUUGUGAUGUUGAAGAUGUUGAUGGAGAUUGCCCUCCCCAAGAUUGGAGUGUUCGUGAUGAUGAUGACGAUGAUUUCCCCCUCCGGGAGGAAAGUUCCCCCGGCGAAUCGCUUCGUCAGAGGGCGAAAGUGCUCCUGUCCAAGUUCCGCCUCGAGACGGUGGCGCUUCGUCCCGUAAGUCCUCUCCUUAUUUUUUAUAGGUCAAAAUGACGUAUGUGACGCCCCCGAUUCAAUCGUACACUAAUCAUACAUGCAAAUGUGUACGAUCAAGAUCAGGGACUCACGGGAAGAUAUCACAACACAACUCUCGACACAAAUAAAAUAAUACAAGCUUUAUAUUACAAGCCAGGGGCCUCGAGGGCUCAAAAUACAAGCUCGAUACACAAGACUCAGCGGAAGCAACAAUAUCUGAGUACAGCCAUAAGUUAAACAAGGAUGCCUUAAGAAGGCUAGCACAAAAGCAACACGAUCGAAGAGGCAAGGUCUCCUGCCUGGGACCUCCUAACUACUCCUGGUCAUCGGCGGUCUCCACGUAGCAGUAUCUGUCGGCGGUGGCAUCUGGCUCUAUGGAUCCACCAUCUGGUUGCAUCAACCAGAAAGAAGAAAGAAAGGGGAAAAAGGGGUUGCAAAGCAACCGUGCGUACUCAUCCAAAGUACUCGCAAGCAUCAGAUCUAUACUAAGUAUGCAUUGGUAUCAAAUGGAAGGGUUGUAUCUGUGGACUGAACUGCAGAAUGCCAGAAUAGAGGGGAAGGCCUAGCCUAUGGAAGACUAGCAUCUUCAAGCAGCUCCAAGCAUCUUGCAGCAUGUAGAAGAGUAAAGAAUAGCAGUCUAUAAUAUUUAACAAGCAUGUUGUAACAUCAACGCCCAGAUAUCCUUCCUCGACUCCCUGCGAGAAAGUAAUCUCGGAGCCACAUAUCCAUCACAUAUCUCAAGUAUCCAUUUCUAGUUAUAUAAGAUCCGGAUACAAGUCUGAAUGUCUGUUACCAUGGACACGGUAUUCGAAUAUAUAACUUCCCUACAGGGGUGCACCAUGUUACCCAACACGCUCGAUCACUCUGGCCGGACACACCUUUCUAGGGUCAAUGCCCGCCCUCGGAAGAUCAACACAUCGCAGCCCUACCUAGGCACAGCAGAGAGGUCCCCAUCGGUCUACAUCCUAAGCACUCCGGGGUCUGGGCCCAUUGCCCGUUGCACUCCGGAUCGUUGUGCGCAAGGGGAUACCAGCACCACCUGUGAAGUGGAUGGCAUGAUCCGACCCGGCCACAAAUCUGAACUAGACGUCUGACAAAGCUUUGACUGAUACUGCGACGUCGAGGCCCAUAAGUAUUCUCGCAUGGUGGUUAGUGCGUAAAGGCCAGAGGCCAACUCAGAACAAAUACCCAAACCUGUUAGUGCAUUGGGGGCUCACGGAAACAAGCAGAGACUCACGAUAAGGUGACCCCGUCGCCCUGUCUCAUGGACUUACGACAAGGGCCCACACCGCCCGGCCGUGCCACGUGGAAAACUCGUGGGGUGCUCAACGGGCCCGCCCAACUUUCACAUCAACUAGCGGGUACCCCUCAGGGCCGACCCGACUUCAACAAUGGUCUCAAGUAAGGUCAAGGUAACCGUGUGUCUAAAUAUCAAGGGGAAAACCCGAGGAAUCACCCAUGGAGGAUUCCACUCAAUGUAAUCAUCAAGGUGAACGUAAGAGGGACCACCCUCGAGGUUCACACUUGAGGUGUUGAACGACAGAGCCAUAUCGAGAAUGGUGAAAGAGGAAAUCACCCUCGAUGACCACGACCGAAUAGCUACACUACAGAAUUAUCAUCAAGAGUGCGUUAUGAGGGAUCACCCUCGGCACUCGAUGGUAGCUCUGCAGAGUCGAGCAACAAAAGGGGCAUGAUGUGAUGUGAGGUGUCGGGCUCUGGUCAUCGAUCACAUCGAUCGAGGUGUCAAUGAUGAAACAGGGGCAACAAGGACAAGUGGGGGUCACUGAUGGAUCACUAGCCAACCUAUACUAAGCAGUUUAGGCUAAGAAGGUAGGUAACAAUAAGCAGGUACAAAAGCAGGCUAUGCAUCAGAAUAGGAGCAAACAAUAACAGUAGCAAAAUCUAAUGCAAGCAUGAGAGUAUAGAAUGGGCGAUUGUCAGGACCCCGACUCAAUGCCACAUCGAUCUAGCAUGUAACACCUCAUAUCACUUUGCGGCCUCACGCACGGUAUCCCCACGGGUGUCGCCUUACCUUUGCCCGGGACCGUUUGCGCCUUUUGGCACACGUAUAUGAUGGUGUCGCUAGCAUCCAUAUGAUAAAGAGCCCGGGCUGAAAUGGCUAGUCGUAAACCCAAAGUGGCACUAACUUACAGGGACAGGCAUCCAUGACCCAGCAUCGAACGUGUCGGUCAUCAGCGAGUGAAUCCAGGCUGUAGCACUGGGCUAACAGGACUCCGGUGAACCGGGCUGUAGCGGGCUAGCAGGACUCCGGUAUUCAUCGCGUGACAUUUCCCCGAAGGGACAGACACAUGAUCGAAGAAGGACACAUGCCGGCCAGCCUAAGUGUUCCGGAGCAGUAGCAAGCUACCAGGGCUCAGUGGAAGCACUAGGAGACAUUUCCCGGUAAGAGAGACUACUAAGGAUAAACAACUAGAUAGUCAGAUCCCACACAUAGCAAUACACAUUACACGUACGCAUAACAUGCAAGUAUGUGUUGUACAACAUGGCAUCACAGCAUAACUCAACAACUCAUAUAGAUAAGGGCUCAGAAGAGCCAUCAUAGCAUUUAUUACAAACAGGGGUCACAUGACACAACAUUCAGAGCAAUCAAGCAACAAACGGAAGCAUUACAUGUCUGAGUACAGACAUCUAUAAAUGAAAAAGGCUGAAAGCCUGACUAUCUACAACGUCCGAUCAAGAUCGUAGCUGAGGUACAAGCUACUCGUCGAAGUCCACGAGAACACUAAUAAGACCGAAGUCUCCGCUGCAAAAACAUAAAUAAAGCAACAUGAGUACAAAGGUACUCAGCAAGACUUACAUCAGAUCCUAUCAUACAUGCAUUUGUAUCAAGAGAGUAAUGUGGGGUUUAGUUGCAGCAAGCCAGCUUUGACUCUGUGGCUAUCCUGUUCUACGACUACCAGAGACUCUUGAGGUGACAUGGCGCACACGAGUCCACUAAUCACCACACAAUACACUACUAUGGAUUCAUCCCCGUCUCCCUACGAGAAGGCCAUCCAUAGCACUCACACUUGUCUUGAGCAUUUUAGAGUAUCCACUUCAAGUUGUCUAUGUACCAUGUAAGCAUCCAAGAAGUCCAUAACCGCGGACCCGGCUAUUCGAAUAGAUCAUGUUAACCCUGCAGGGGUGUACUUCUUCACACACGCUCUCGCCACUUACCGCCAUGUACACGUCAUGCAUCUCGGCAACCUUCAAGCGGAAGCCUGGCGAGGGUGUCGGCCACGACCUGACUAACCACAGAAGACUCUAAUCCAGGUUUAUCGCCUAUUCGGGUUCCAUCCGCAAGGAGAUCCGGCCGGGGUGUCGCUCAUGGCCCCAAACGAUGUGAGCAGGGUUCCCAAGCCCACCAUCCGGGUGCCACUUGGUACACCGUGCCACCUGUGCCUAGUUUGUCCCAAGCCCACCCUGCCGGGUGCCACUUGGUAGAAAAAUAGCACUACCUACAAACACCAGAAACUAGUUGCGACUCCUGGACAGAGAUCAAGUUGGUUAAUAAGCCGAGAGGGGUCGAGUUACCGGAACCCAAUGUGUGGUAGUAUCGAGUCAUUGGACAACAUACACCGAACUCAGUGCUUAAGGACGGUUCCAGUGAGACAACCCACCAUGUACUCCUACAUGGCCUCUCACCGCUACCUUUACCAAAUCGUGUUCACACACUUCACUCUCAGCAUCAGAACAUAUCGUAACACUCCACUUCAUUCCCAAUGAACCAGACCUGACACAACUCUAAGCAAUAGCAGGCAUAGCAUGGUAGGAACACAACAGUGGCUUCAAUCAACUCCUACACAUGCUAGUGGGUUUCAACUAUUUACUGUGGCAAUGAAAGGUCAUGCAGAGGAAUGGGUUCAACUACCGCAGCACAAAUUAGCAGAUGAAUCCCUGUUGUCCUAAUGCAAUAACUGAGAGCAGGAGCGAGAGAGUAGGGUUUUAUCGAAAUGAACAAGGGGGUUUGCUUGCCUGGUAAAUCAACAGAGGAGGCACUGCUUCACAGACAGGUACUCUGGAACAGACUCCGGAGCAGGACCUAUCGAGAAGGAACAGUGUCGGCAAUCAAUACCAAACAUAUGCAACAAUAUGAUGCAUGAACAUGGCAUGAAGAUGUGAUGCUUUUUGAGCUAAUGCAACUAGUAAUCAUUUGGUUUGAAGUCCAUUUGAACCAUAAGCUCAUAUGCAUCUCCAAAGUAAGCUCUUAUAUAUGCCAUAAUGUGUUUUCACCUAUACAGCAAGUAUAAGUUGGUUUGUCAUGCAUGAAACUAGUACAGAUGGAAAGAUUGCAUUUUUCUGAUAAUUUUUCAUAUAUAAAUUAUUUUAAUCUGAGCUACGGUUGAAUUGAUAUGAAUUUUUGAUGUUUAAAUCAAUUUCUGGAAUUUCCUGAAUUAUUUUAAUUCCAGAAAAUAUAUAUUGCGUCAGCAUUGAGUAAGCAUGACGUCAGCAAGUCAACUGCGGCUGACUGGGUCAAACCUGACGUGUGGGCUCCACACGUCAGUGACAGGGGGUUAAACAGGGGGUUAGAUUAACUUAAUUAAAAGAUUAGGGGGCACCGGGGCCCACAUGUCAGCCUCAGGGGGUUAAUUUAAGCGGUGAUUAGCACUAAGCUAAUCACCUGACGGGCCGGGCCCACAUGGCGGGGCUCAGGCGACGGGGCUCGUCGCCGGCGACCUCUGGACGCGGCGGAGUCCGCGCCACAGGCCACGGGGACGGCGUCUGAGAGCACCGGGGCAUAGCCCGGGCUCGUCCGCAUCUAGGGGAGCAGACGGGAAGCCGCGGGGACGCCGGAGCUCGCCGGAGCAAAGCUCGCGGCGGCGGCCGGAGCUCGGCUUCGAUCGGGAACGGGCUGCGGGGCAUGGGGAGACCACCUGAGGGGCUCGGUGGCACCCUCGUGGCACCGGGAGCACGAUGGGGUGCUCGGUUGCAAGCUGCGGUGGCCAGGGCGACGGCGGCGACAUGAACGGCGGCAGGAAGCUUCGGCCGUGGUGGGGAGGAGGGCUACGGCGAGCGGGCAGCUAAAUGGAGAGAGGGGAACGGUGGCGGAGCUCACCGCGGUUGCAGCGGGCGUCGAAGCGGGCUCAGGGACGCACUGGAGACGGCGAAUCGACGGCGAUGGCGAUCUGCGGCGGCCGGAGGUGAUGAAGGCGACGGCGACGUUCCAGGGCGUCCGGCGCCUUGUGGCUUGACGGAGGAGACGAGGAAGUCGUGGCGGAGCUUCUGCGCGUGUCGGAGAGGCGAGGGGGAGGCUGUGGCGGCGGCUAUGGCGAACGGCGGCGACCGGCGCNNNNNNNNNNNNNNNNNNNNNNNNNNNNNNNNNNNNNNNNNNNNNNNNNNNNNNNNNNNNNNNNNNNNNNNNNNNNNNNNNNNNNNNNNNNNNNNNNNNNNNNNNNNNNNNNNNNNNNNNNNNNNNNNNNNNNNNNNNNNNNNNNNNNNNNNNNNNNNNNNNNNNNNNNNNNNNNNNNNNNNNNNNNNNNNNNNNNNNNNNNNNNNNNNNNNNNNNNNNNNNNNNNNNNNNNNNNNNNNNNNNNNNNNNNNNNNNNNNNNNNNNNNNNNNNNNNNNNNNNNNNNUCGGACACGAGAGAGAGAGAGAGCGAGGGAGAGGAGAGGAAGAAUCGGGGGAGAGUGAGAGGGUACGGGGGGGGGGGGCGUGGAGACGUCCGGGCGUUCCAGGGCGACGAGCAGGGCGCCAGGCAGGCAGGGAGGCUGGUGGCGUGGAGCGGUGGCGCGCGCGCGCGCCGGGCACGCUCCCAUCCCUCUGUCAAGGACGAAGACGACAGAGGAGGGCCAGUGGGCUGGGCCGGCGCUGGCUGCUGGGCCGGCCAGGCCGCACAGGAACUGGGCCGCAGGUAAGUUUCUCCUCUUUUUCUGUUUUCUAAUUUUCUGACAUAUGUUUUGAUUUAGUAAUAAUACUAAAUCAAUUUAUUUCCUUAUGCCCAUUUUUGCAGGAGCUAACUAUAUUAUUCCAAAGCUCCUCAGCAAAUGGCAUAAUUUUUGGACCACAUUUUAUAUACAACAAUAUAUAUCCAAGGCAAAUAAUUAUCGGAUUAAUCCAAAUGGCCAAAAUUAAAUAUCCAUGAGCUCCUAAAAUAUUUGUUUGAAUUUUUUCCUCUGACCAAUAUUUUCAGAGAGCAACAUGAACAUUUCCUUAGACCCUUUUGGAGCAAUUUUUAUUUAGGUCAAUUUCAGAGAUGAUUCUGAGGGUUCCACCAAUCCUCAUUUCAAAUUUAAAUGGAAUAUAAACAUGAUGCACAAAUGACUAGCUAGUCUAGGUCAUACCAGACUAGGGAUGUGACAACUCGCCCCCACUUGAAAGAAUCUCGUCCCGAGAUUCAGGCGUCGACGGAAAGAAAGCGGGGUACUCCAGUCGAAGACGAUCUUCUCGCUCCCAAGUAGCUUCUCUCUCGGAAUGAUGAGACCACUGAACUUUGAGAAACUUGAUGUUCUGACGUCGGGUAACACGCUCUGCUUGAUCAAGAAUGCGAACCGGGUACUCUCGGUAUGUGAGGUUAUCUUGAAGAUCAAGUGUUUCGUGGUCCACUCCGCGGAUGGGAUCCGAGAAGCAACGCCUGAGUUGAGAGACGUGGAAGACAUCAUGAACUCGAGAAAGAUGUGGGGGUAGUUCCAAUUGAUAGGCAACCUCUCCUCGUUUAGCGAGAAUACAAAAAGGACCAAUGUAACGAGGAGCCAACUUGCCCUUGAUACCGAAACGAUGGGUACCCUUCAAAGGAGUAACUCGAAGGUAAGCCUUGUCGCCAAUUUCAUAAGUCAUAUCCUUAUGAUGACGAUCAUACUGACUCUUUUGACGAGAGUGGGCUGUUUUCAAAUUCUCACGGAUGAUGCGAACUUGCUCUUCUGCCUCCUGGAUCAUGUCCGGUCCAAAGAAUUGUCUUUCACCGGUUUCUGACCAGUUCAAAGGUGUUCGACAUCUUCGUCCAUAGAGAACUUCAAAAGGAGCUUUCUUGAGGCUGGAUUGAUAGCUAUUGUUAUAAGCAAACUCAGCAAAAGGAAGAGAUUUCUCCCAAUCCAUACCGAAUGAGAUAACGCAAGCUCUGAGCAUGUCUUCGAGAAUUUGAUUGACCCGUUCCACCUGACCACUCGACUGAGGGUGGAAAGCGGUACUAAAGGAAAGAUGGGUUCCCAUGGCAGUUUGGAAACUCUCCCAGAAAUGAGAAGUGAAAAGACUGCCACGAUCUGAAUUGAUCUCUAGUGGAACACCAUGAAGUGAUACUAUUUGAGAAAUAUAUAAGUCAGCGAGCUGACUAGCAGUGAUACUCUCUCGAACAGGUAGGAAGUGAGCCACUUUGGAAAGACGAUCAACGACUAUGAAGAUAGCGUUAUUCCCCUUCUUGGUCCUGGGAAAACCGGUGAUGAAGUCCAUACCAACUUUAUCCCAUUUCCAUUCAGGAAUAGCUAAAGGCUGAAGGGUGCCAGCAGGUCUUUGAUGCUCUGCCUUAACGCGACGACAAACGUCACAGUUAGCAAUAAACUGAGCGAUUUCUCUCUUCAUCCUAGUCCACCAGAACCUCUGGCGUAGGUCCUGAUACAUCUUAGUACUACCGGGAUGAAUCAUGAGAGGAGAUUCAUGCGCCUCCUUAAGAAUCAAUUGUCGCAGAUGUUGCUUCUUGGGGACCACCAGGCGGUUCCCAAAGAAAACAACACCUCGAUCAUCUAUAGAGAAACUACCAGCAAUACCCUUGGCAAUGUUUCUCUUGAUCCGGGUAAUCCCCGUAUCAUGCUUCUGGGCUUCUAUGAUAAUAUCCACAAGGGUAGGUUUCGCCACCAAGGUAGAAAGAAAUCCGCGAGGAGCUAUGUGAAGAUUAAGCUUACAGAAUUCCUCAUGGAGAAGUGGUUGGCCUUGCUACAACACGAGAUUGUUGCAAUAGGAUUUACGGCUUAACGCAUCAGCCAUGACAUUGGCUUUGCCUGGGGUGUAGGUAAUCCCUAGAUCAUAAUCUGUGAUUAACUCCAACCAACGUCGUUGCCUAAGGUUCAGAUCCGGUUGGGUGAAGAUAUACUUGAGACUCUGGUGAUCGGUGUAGAUCUCGCAACGUUUACCAAGGAGGUAAUGUCCCCAGGUCUUGAGUGCAUAGACUACGGCUGCAAGCUCUAGAUCAUGUGUAGGAUAAUUCUCCUCAUGUGGAUGCAACUAUCGAGAUGCAUAGGCAAUCACAUGACGAUGCUGCAUAAGAAUGCAACCUAGUCCCUAUCGUGAGGCGUCGCAGUAGAUAAUAAAGUCUUUAGUGAAAUCCGGUGGCACAAGUAUGGGAGCAGAAGUCAGGCGUCUUUCCAGUUCCUGAAAACUGUACUCACACUGUGGGGACCACUCGAACUUUUUAUCCUUCUUGAGAAGUUCCGUGAGGGGUUUGGCUACUUUGGAGAAGUUUUCAACAAAGCGGCGACAAUAGCUGGCUAGACCAAGGAAGCUCCUAACUUGUUUAACGGUUUCAGGUGGAGUCCAAUCGAGAACGGCCUUAACUCUCUCGGGGUUGACAGCAAUGCCCUUGCCAGAGAUUACGUGGCCUAGGUAGGUCACUUCUGGCAACCAAAAUUCACACUUGGAGAACUUGGCAUAAAGGCGGUGCUCUCUGAGUUUUUCUAACACAAGUCUAAGAUGUUCGGCAUGCUCUUCCUCGUUCUUCGAGUAAAUAAGAAUAUCAUCGAGGUAAACCACGACGAACUUAUCUAAGUACUCCAUGAAGAUUGAGUUCAUCAAGCGGGAGAAUGUAGCUAGAGCGUUGGUUAGACCAAAGGACAUGACGGUGUACUCGUACUGACCAUAACGAGUAACAAAGGCUGUCUUGGGAAUGUCCCCGUUUCUGAUCUUAAUUUGGUGGUAUCCUAACCUUAAAUCCAUCUUGGAGAAGACUGAGGAUCCAGCGAGCUGAUCAUACAGAUCGUUGAUCCUGGGGAGCGGAUAUUUGUUCUUUAUCGUGACCAAAUUAACGGGACGAUAAUCUACAACCAUCCGGUCCGUACCGUCUUUCUUCUUGACAAAGAGGACGGGGCAAGCCCAAGGAGAAGAACUAGGACGGAUGAAACCUUUUUGCAAGGACUCAUCGAGUUGUUUCUUAAGCUCGGCUAGUUCUAAGGGUGCCAUCUUGUAAGGUCUCCUAGAGAUUGGAGUUGUUCCUGGGAUAAGAUCUAUGACAAACUCUACAUCUCUGUCAGGUGGAACACCUGGUAGUUCCUCUGGAAAGACAUCCGAAAAGUCACGGACUACCGGGAUAUCUUCAAGGUCUGGAAGAGGGCUGGCAUUAAGAGAAUAGAGCUGACCUUUGCAACUCUAGUGGAGACAGUGACUAUCUUGCCAGAUGGGUGGGUAAGCUGGACGGACCUGGUGUAACAAUCAAUCUUGGCAUGAUGAGCUAUCAUCCAGUCCAUACCCAAUAUGAUGUUAAUAUCUGAGGACUGGAGGGCUACAAGUGAGGCAAGGAAUACAAGUCUGCCAACAAGGAUUUCGUUACCAUGGCUUACACUAGAGGUUUGCCAUUUGGAUCCAGGAGUUUGGAUGACUAGCGGAGAGGGCAUACCACAAAAUGACAUGUCAUGCAAACGAGCAUAGUCUUCAGAAAUGAAGGAGUGAGAUGCUCCAGUAUCGAAUAGAACUGAUGUUGGGUGACAAUUGACAAGGAGUGUACCAAGAACGACAUCCGGAUCAUCAUGAGCGUCUUUAGCUGAGACGUGAUGCACACGUCCACGUUCAGUGGGGGCUGACUUGACACUGAUCAUCUUGCAUGAUGGCUUAACACAGCCAACAGUCUUCUCGGGCUGGGGUGGAGCAUAACUAGUCUGAGAGCAGUCACGAGCAUAGUGUCCUGGCUUCCCGCAUGUGAAGCAAGUCCCUGAGGUUGGACGUGGACCCGCACUGACAAGCGGUCUACCAGUAGGCCUGGGUGGAACAUAUGGCUGAACUGGGGGAGGCACCACAUGGGGAGGCCUCGGUGCAUAUCCGGAAGGAAGAGCGGAGUUUGGAACCCAAAUCCGGCGCUUUUGAGAACUAGAACCGGAAGAAGAUCCCAAGUCACGGGUGUGCUUACGAGACUCCUCGUAAGUGAGUUGAGCUGUCUCUGCAUUGAUGGCCUUGUUCACAAGGGCUUGGAAUGUAUCACAAUGAUGUAGGUGGAGAUCACGAUGCAACUUGGGGUUGAGACCCUUCCGGAACCUAGCCUGCUUCUUGGCGUCUGUGGACACUUCUUCUGUGGCAUAGCGAGCGAGGUUCUCAAACUCUCUACUAUAAGCAUCAACAGCCAUCUUACUCUGGGUGAAACUACAGAACUCUUCUCUCUUGCGAUCGAUGAGGGCUUCAGCAAUGUGAUGCUCGCGAAAAGCCUCAGUGAAAUCUCUCCAGGUAGGAAUCUGGCCAGCUGGAAGCAUAGCCUCAUAGUUAUGCCACCAAAGACUAGCAGGACCUUCCAGGUGGUAUGCAGCAUAGGUGACCUUGUCACUUUCAGCUACGCUCGGGGAAUGCAGCUUAUGAGUGAUGCUACGGAGCCAGUCAUCUGCAUCGAGUGGCUCGAUGGAAUGAUGAAAGGUAGGUGGGUGCAAGCGAAUGAAGUCAUGAAUGGUAGCAGAUCGUUUGAACUGAUGUGCGGUGUUCUCCUCGAUGCGUGCCAACAAACGGUUAGACUCACGCUUGUUCCUCUCCAUUUCUAACAUGAACUCUGUCAACGAAGGCGGGUCGGGAGGAUCCUCAUCCCUACCAUCUUCAUGGUUCUGGCUACAAAUAAUAGAACUUGAUGACAUCCUGAGAAACGAAACCAGGGACGGAGUCAGCAUCAACUAUAGACUGUAGAAUGUAGGACAAGGAAUUGGUAUCUCUCGAACUCCUAGGGAAAUUCCGGCAGCAUAACGGCAGUAAAAUGCUCAGAAUGAGACAUCCUACUAAAAAUGGGGUGGUAACAUACUCAUCAGCAUUACUCAAGAUUCUGAGAUCAUACUAAACAGACUACACCGGAAAUACUCAAAACUGGGGUAUGACUCUGAUCAACCAAUCCUAUGGGACUACGGAGUAGUAACACGUGAUCCUGAUAGACAGAAGAGAAAGCCUGGUUCCUUAACCCCGUAGGAAAGAUAGGAUGACUCAGAUCAGAAGGCCAUGAGGUAUAAGGAGUAAAAAGAGCCUUACGUUCCUUCCCACAAUCAAUUCCCUUACAUAACUAAAGAAUUUCUAGACUCAACUUCGACCAGUUUGGCUUGGUAAUCCUACAGGCAGUCAGGCUCUGAUACCAACGCUAUCAGGACCCCGACUCAAUGCCACAUCGAUCUAGCAUGUAACACCUCAUAUCACUUUGCGGCCUCACGCACGGUAUCCCCACGGGUGUCGCCUUACCUUUGCCUGGGACCGUUUGCGCCUUUUGGCACACGUAUAUGAUGGUGUCGCUAGCAUCCAUAUGAUAAAGAGCCCGGGCUGACAUGGCUAGUCGUAAACCCAAAGUGGCACUAACUUACAGGGACAGGCAUCCAUGACCCAGCAUCGAACGUGUCGGUCAUCAGCGAGUGAAUCCAGGCUGUAGCACUGGGCUAACAGGACUCCGGUGAACCGGGCUGUAGCGGGCUAGCAGGACUCCGGUAUUCAUCGCGUGACAUUUCCCCGAAGGGACAGACAUAGGAUCGAAGAAGGACACAUGCCGGCCAGCCUAAGUGUUCCGGAGCAGUAGCAAGCUACCAGGGCUCAAUGGAAGCACUAGGAGACAUUUCUCGGUAAGAGAGACUACUAAGGAUAAACAACUAGAUAGUCAGAUCCCACACAUAGCAAUACACAUUACACGUACGCAUAACAUGCAAGUAUGUGUUGUACAACAUGGCAUCACAGCAUAACUCAACAACUCAUAUAGAUAAGGGCUCAGAAGAGCCAUCAUAGCAUUUAUUACAAACAGGGGUCACAUGACCCAACAUUCAGAGCAAUCAAGCAACAAACGGAAGCAUUACAUGUCCGAGUACAGAAGUCUAUAAAUGAAAAAGGCUGAAAGCCUGACUAUCUACAACGUCCGAUCAAGAUCGUAGCUGAGGUACAAGCUACUCGUCGAAGUCCAUGAGAACACUAAUAAGACCGAAGUCUCCGCUGCAAAAACAUAAAUAAAGCAACAUGAGUACAAAGGUACUCAGCAAGACUUACAUCAGAUCCUAUCAUACAUGCAUUUGUAUCAAGAGAGUAAUGUGGGUUUAGUUGCAGCAAGCCAGCUUUGACUCUGUGGCUAUCCUGUUCUACGACUACCAGAGACUCUUGAGGUGAUAUGGCGCACACGAGUCCACUAAUCACCACACAAUACACUACUAUGGAUUCAUCCCCGUCUCCCUACGAGAAGGCCAUCCAUAGCACUCACACUUGUCUUGAGCAUUUUAGAGUAUCCACUUCAAGUUGUCUAUGUACCAUGUAAGCAUCCAAGAAGUCCAUAACCGCGGACCCGGCUAUUCGAAUAGAUCAUGUUAACCCUGCAGGGGUGUACUUCUUCACACACGCUCUCGCCACUUACCGCCAUGUACACGUCAUGUAUCUCGGCAACCUUCAAGCGGAAGCCUGGCGAGGGUGUCGGCCACGACCUGACUAACCACACAAGACUCUAAUCCAGGUUUAUCGCCUAUUCGGGUUCCAUCCGCAAGGAGAUCCGGCCGGGGUGUCGCUCACGGCCCCAAACGAUGUGAGCAGGGUUCCCAAGCCCACCAUCCGGGUGCCACUUGGUACACCGUACCACCUGUGCCUAGUCUGUCCCAAGCCCACCCUGCCGGGUGCCACUUGGUAGAAAAAUAGCACUACCUACAAACACCAGAAACUAGUUGCGACUCCUGGACAGAGAUCAAGUUGGUUAAUAAGCCGAGAGGGGUCGAGUUACCGGAACCCAAUGUGUGGUAGUAUCGAGUCAUUGGACAACAUACACCGAACUCAGUGCUUAAGGACGGUUCCAGUGAGACAACCCACCAUGUACUCCUACAUGGCCUCUCACCGCUACCUUUACCAAAUCGUGUUCACACACUUCACUCUCAGCAUCAGAACAUAUCGUAACACUCCAGUUCAUUCCCAAUGAACCAGACCUGACACAACUCUAAGCAAUAGCAGGCAUAGCAUGGUAGGAACACAACAGUGGCUUCAAUCAACUCCUACACAUGCUAGUGGGUUUCAACUAUUUACUGUGGCAAUGACAGGUCAUGCAGAGGAAUGGGUUCAACUACCGCAGCACAAAGUAGCAGAUGAAUCGCUGUUGUCCUAAUGCAAUAACUGAGAGCAGGAGCGAGAGAGUAGGGUUUUAUCGAAAUGAACAAGGGGGUUUGCUUGCCUGGUAAAUCAACAGAGGAGGCACUGCUUCACAGACAGGUACUCUGGAACAGACUCCGGAGCAGGACCUAUCGAGAAGGAACAGUGUCGGCAAUCAAUACCAAACAUAUGCAACAAUAUGAUGCAUGAACAUGGCAUGAAGAUGUGAUGCUGUUUGAGCUAAUGCAACUAGUAAUCAUUUGGUUUGAAGUCCAUUUGAACCAUAAGCUCAUAUGCAUCUCCAAAGUAAGCUCUUAUAUAUGCCAUAAUGUUUUUUCACCUAUACAGCAAGUAUAAGUUGGUUUGUCAUGCAUGAAACUAGUACAGAUGGAAAGAUUGCAUUUUUCUGGUAAUUUUUCAUAUAUAAAUUAUUUUAAUCUGAGCUACGGUUGAAUUGAUAUGAAUUUUUGAAGUUUAAAUCAAUUUCUGGAAUUUCCUGAAUUAUUUUAAUUCCAGAAAAUAUAUAUUGCGUCAGCAUUGAGUAAGCAUGACGUCAGCAAGUCAACUGCGGCUGACUGGGUCAAACCUGAUGUGUGGGGUCCACACGUCAGUGACAGGGGGUUAAACAGGGGGUUAGAUUAACUUAAUUAAAAGAUUAGGGGGCACCGGGGCCCACAUGUCAGCCUCAGGGGGUUAAUUUAAGCGGUGAUUAGCACUAAGCUAAUCACCUGACGGGCCGGGCCCACAUGGCGGGGCUUAGGCGACGGGGCUCGCCGCCGGCGACCUCUGAAUGCGGCGGAGUCCGCGCCACAGGCCACGGGGACGGCGUCUGAGAGCACCGGGGCGUAGCCCGGGCUCGUCCGCAUCCAGGGGAGCAGACGGGAAGCCGCGGGGACGCCGGAGCUCGCCGGAGCAAAGCUCGCGGCGGCAGCCGGAGCUCGGCUUCGAUCGGGAACGGGCUGCGGGGCACGGGGAGACCACCUGAGGGGCUCGGUGGCACCCUCAUGGCACCGGGAGCACGAUGGGGUGCUCGGUUGCAAGCUGCGGUGGCCAGGGUGACGGCGGCGACAUGAACGGCGGGAGGAAGCUUCGGCCAUGGUGGGGAGGAGGGCUACGGCGGGCGGGCAGCUAAAUGGAGAGAGGGGAACGGUGGCGGAGCUCACCACGGUUGCAGCGGGCGUCGAAGCGGGCUCGGGGACGCACUGGAGACGGCGAAUCGACGGUGAUUGCGAUCUGCGGCGGCCGGAGGUGAUGAAGGCGACGGCGACGUUCCAGGGCGUCCAGCGCCUUGUGGCUUGACGGAGGAGACGAGGAAGUCGUGGCGGAGCUUCUGCGCGUGUCGGAGAGGCGAGGGGGAGGCUGUGGCGGCGGCUAUGGCGAACUGCGGCGACCGGCGCGUUCGGACACGAGAGAGAGAGAGCGAGGGAGAGGAGAGGAAGAAUCGGGGGAGAGUGAGAGGGUACGGGGGGGCGUGGAGACGUCCGGGCAUUCCAGGGCGACGAGCAGGGCGCCAGGCAGGCAGGGAGGCUGGUGGCGUGCCGCGGUGGCGCGCGCGCGCGCCGGGCACGCUCCCAUCCCUCUGUCGAGGACGAAGACGACAGAGGAGGGCCAGUGGGCUGGGCCGGCGCUGGCUGCUGGGCCGGCCAGGCCGCACAGGAGCUGGGCCGCAGGUAAGUUUCUCCUCUUUUUCUGUUUUCUAAUUUUCUGACAUAUGUUUUGAUUUAGUAAUAAUACUAAAUCAAUUUAUUUCCUUAUGCCCAUUUUUGCAGGAUCUAACUAUAUUAUUCCAAAGCUCCUCAGCAAAUGGCAUAAUUUUUGGACCACAUUUUAUAUAUAACAAUAUAUAUCCAAGGCAAAUAAUUAUCGGAUUAAUCCAAAUGGCCAAAAUUAAAUAUCCAUGAGCUCCUAAAAUAUUUGUUUGAAUUUUUUCCUCUGACCAAUAUUUUCAGAGACAUGAACAUUUCCUUGGACCCUUUUGGAGCAAUUUUUAUUUAGGUCAUUUUCAGAGAUGAUUCUGAGGGUUCCACCAAUCCUUAUUUCAAAUUUAAAUGGAAUAUAAACAUGAUGCACAAAUGACUAGCUAGUCUAGGUCAUACCAGACUAGGGAUGUGACAGCGAUACCGGGAUGAUCAAAGGGGGGGGCUUGCCUGGUUGCUCAGGCGAGAAGGAGGGGUCGUCGUCGACGUAUUCGACCACAGGGGCAUCAGUAGCGGUCUCGAGGUCUACCGAAGAAGAAGAGGGGGAAGAAAUAGUAAAUACACACAAACAUACAGCAUGACAUGACACUAAGCGGGUCUAGAAGUGUUCUAACGCAGCGCUAGGCGAUACUGGCGAAGGGGGGAACAUCCGGGAAAGUUUUCCCAGUUUCGGACGUCUGUCAGACAGAUGAACCAGAGGGAAAGGUUGCAUGUUUUCUAUGCUAGGGAUGUGUGGCGGGCGAACAGACCGCGCAUUUGAAUUCGUCUCCUCGUUCUGAGCAACUUUCAUGUAGAAAACCUUUUCAUCUGAGUUACGGAUUAUUUUAUAUGAUUUUCUAAAGUUGUAGUAAUAAUCUGGAAUUAAUGGAUUUAAUUAAAAGGAAAACAUGGUUAUGACAUCAGCAUGACAUCAUUAUGACGUCAGCAGUCAACAGAGUUAACCAAAGUCAACCAUGACGUGUGGGGCCGGUCAAUGCCAGUCAGCAGUACAGUCGGCAUUAACUGGGUCAAAGUUGAUCAGUCAACAGGGUCAAUGGGGCACAUGUGUCAGUGUCACAUAUUUUAAAAGGGGUUUAAAUUAAACUAACUAGUGGUGGGGACACAUUGUCAUAGAGUCCUCUGCCUAACUAAUUAGUUAAUUAGGCAAAAUUAAUUAAGUUAGUUAACUGUUUAACUAAUCAAUUAAUUAUUUAUAUUAAUAUAUUUUUUAAAAAAACUUUUUUUAUUAUUACACAGGGGCGUGGGGCCCCAACAUCAGUGGCCCAAGGGGUUAAUCGGGCGACGGGUGAGCGCCCGUGCGAGGGCACGGGGCAACAAGGGCGCCGGCGAGGCCAUGGCGCCGUCCGGGGAGGGGCGUGGCCAGGCCGGGCGGCGACGACCAGAGUGGGGCGACGGGUGUAUGGGCACGGGCGCAGCAGCGAGCACACGGGCUCCGGGCGUGGCGGGGCGCACAUGACGCGGGCAAGCACGAGCCGGGGCACGGGACCGCGAGGAGCACAGGCAGGGGAGCAGCGACUGAUACGUCCAUUUUGCAUCAUGCUUUUAUAUCGAUAUUUAUUGCAUUAUGGGUUGUUAUUACACAUUAUGUCUCACUACUUAUGGCUAUUCUCUCUUAUUUUACAAGGUUUACCAUGAAGAGGGGGGAUGCCGGCAGCUAGAAAUUCUGGCUGGAAAGGAGAAAAUAUUGGAAACCUAUUCUGCACAGCUCCAAAAAUCCUAAAACUCCACGAAAGCUAUUUUUGGAAUUAAUAAGAAUUACUGAGCGAAGAAAGCACCAGAGGGGGCCCACACCCUGGCCGGGAGGGUGGGGGCGCGCCCCCUGUCUCCUGGGCCCCCUGGUGGCCCUCCGGUGCCCAUCUUUUGCUAUAUGAAGGCUUUUACCCUGGAAAAAAUCAGAGGCAAGCUUACGGGUCGAAACUCCGCUGCCACGAGGCGGAACCUUGGCGGAAUCAAUCUAGGGCUCCGGCGGAGCUGUUCUGCUGAGGAAACUUCCCUUUGGGAGGGGAAAAUCAUCACUAUCGUCAUCACCAACGAUCCUCUCAUCGGGAGGGGGUCAAUCUCCAUCAACAUGUUCACCAACACCAUCUCCUCUCAAACCCUAGUUCAUCUCUUGUAUCCAAUCUUGUAUCCAAAACCACAAGUUGUUACCUGUGGGUUGCUAGUAGUGUUGAUUACUCCUUGUAGUUGAUGCUAAUUGGUUUAUUUGGUGGAAGAUCAUAUGUUCAGAUCCUUAAUGCAUAUUAUUACUCCUCUGAUUAUGAACAUGAAUAUGAUUUGUGAGUAGUUAUGUUUGUUCCUGAGGACAUGGGUGAAGUCUUGCUAUUAGUAGUCAUGUGAAUUUGGUAUUCGUUUGAUAUUUUGAUGAGAUGUAUGUUGUAUUUCCUCUAGUGGUGUUAUGUGAACGUCGACUACAUGACACUUCACCAUUAUUUGGGCCUAGAGGAAGGCAUUGGGAAGUAAUAAGUAGAUGAUGGGUUGCUAGAGUGACAGAAGCUUAAACCCUAGUUUAUGUGUUGCUUCGUAAGGGGCUGAUUUAGAUCCAUAUGUCUAAUGUUGUGGUUAGGUUUACCUUAAUACUUCUUUUGUAGUUGCGGAUGCUUUCACUAGGGGUUAAUCAUAAGUGGGUUGCUUGUCCAAGUAAGGGCAGUACCCAAGCACCGGUCCACCCACAUAUCAAAUUUUCAAAGUACCGAACGCGAAUCAUAGGAGCGUGAUGAAAACUAGCUUGACAAUAAUUCCCAUGUGUCCUCGGGAGCUCUUUUCUCAUUAUAAGAAAUUGUCCAGGCUUGUCCUUUACUACAAAAAGGAUUGGGCCACCUUGCUGCACUUUAUUUACUCUCAUUGCUUAUUACUCGUUACAAUUUAUCUUAUCACAAAACUAUCUGUUACUUACAAUUUCAAUGUUUGCAGAGAAAACCUUACUGAAAACCUCUUGGCAUUUCCUUCUGCUCCUCGUUGGGUUCGACACUCUUACUUAUCGAAAGGACUACGAUAGAUCCCGUCUUUUCUGGCGCCGUUGUCGGGGAAUGAAGCGCCUUUGGUGAGUGGAACUUGGUAAGGAAACAUUUAUAUAGUGUGCUGAAAUUUUCUGUCACUUGUCACUAUGGAAACUAAUCCUUUGAGGGGCUUGUUCAGGGUAUCUUCACCCCGACAAGAAGAGCAAAGAGUUGCUCCUCAACCUACUAAACCUACUGAAAAUGUUUACUUUGAGAUUCCUUCGGGUAUGAUAGAGAAACUGCUAGCUAAUCCCUUUGCAGGAGAUGGAACAUUGCAUCCCAAUUUACACCUUAUCUUUGUGGAUGAAGUUUGUGGAUUAUUUAAGCUUGCAGGUUCCCGAUGAUGUUGUCAAAAGGAAGGUAUUCCCUUUAUAUUUGAAGGGAGAUGCAUUGACAUGGUAUAGGCUAUGUGAUGAUAUUGGAUCUUGGAAUUAUAAACGAUUGAAGUUGGAAUUUCACCAGAAGUUCUAUCCUAUGCAUCUUGUUCAUCGUGAUCGUAAUUACAUAUAUAAUUUCUGGCCUCGCGAAGGAGAAAGCAUCGCUCAAGCUUGGGGGAGGCUUAAGUCAAUGUUGUAUUCAUGCCCCAAUCAUGAGCUCUCCAGAGAAAUGAUUAUUCAAAAAAUUUAUGCUCGGCUUUCUCCCAAUGAUCGCAACAUGCUCGAUACUUCCUGUGCUGGUUCUUAUAUGCUGAAGACUAUUGAAUUCAAAUGGGAUUUAUUGGAAAUAAUUAAACGCAACUCCGAAGAUUGGGGCUCCGACGAUGGUAAGGAGUCAGGUAUAACAUCUAAGUUUGAUUGUGUUAAAUCUUUUAUGGAUACCGAUGUUUUUCGUGGAUUUAGCGCUAAGUAUGGACUUGACUCUGAGAUAGUAGCUGCUUUUUCUGAAUCUUUUGCUACUCACGUUGAUCUCCCUAAGGAGAAAUGGUUUAAAUAUAAUCCUCCGAUUGAAGUAAAAGUAGUUGCACCUAUUACAGUUGAAGAAAAGGCUGUCACUUAUAAUGAUCCUAUUGUUCCUACUACUUAUGUUGAGAAACCUCCUUUUCCUGUUAGGAUAAAGGAUCAUGCUAAAACUUCGACUGUUGUUCGUAAGAGUAAUACUAGAACUUUUACACCUCCUGAGAAAAUUAAAGUUUAACCUAGUAUUUCUAUGGUGAAAGAUCUCUUGGAUGAUAAUUUAGAUGGGCAUGUUAUUUAUUUCUGUGGUGAGACUGCUAAUAUUGUUAGACCAGAUGCUAAGAUACAUAGACCUGUUGUAGGCAUGCCUGUUAUUUCUGUUAAAAUAGGAGAUCAUUGUUAUCAUGGCUUAUGUGAUAUGGGUGCUAGUGCUAGUGCAAUACCCUAUGACUUAUAUAAAGAAAUUAUGCAUGAUAUUGCUCCUGCUGAAUUGGAAGGUAUUGAUGUUACUAUCAAGCUUGCCAAUAGAGAUACUAUUUCACCAGUUGGGAUUGUUAGAGAUGUUGAAGUCUUGUGUGGGAAGGUUAAAUAUCCUGCUGAUUUUCUUAUUCUUAGUUCCCCACAAGAUGAUUUUUGUCCCAUUAUUUUUGGUAGACCCUUCUUGAAUACUGUUAAUGCUAGGAUUGAUUGCGAAAAGGAUAUUGUUGAAAUUGGCUUAGGGGAUAUGUCUCAUGAGUUUAAUUUUGCUAAGUUUCAUAGACAACCCCAUGAUAAAGAAUCACGUAGUAUAGAUGAGAUUAUUGGUCUUGCUUCUAUUGCCACGCCUCCUACUGAUUCGUUAGAACAAUAUUUGCUAGACCAUGAAAAUGAUAUGUUUAUGAAUGAAAGAAGGGAAAUAGAUGAAGUGUUCCUUCAACAGGGUCCUAUUCUGAAACACAACUUACCUAUUGAAAUCCUAGGGGAUCCCCCUCCACCCAAGGGUGAUCCUGUGUUUGAACUCAAACCAUUACCUGAUAAUCUUAAGUAUGCUUAUCUUGAUGAAAAGAAAAUAUAUCAUGUUAUUAUUAGUUCUAACCUUUCAGAGCAAGAAGAAGAAAGAAUAUUGAAAACUAUGAAGAAGCAUCGUGCUGCUAUUGGAUAUACUCUGGAUGAUCUUAAGGGCAUUAGUCCCACUCUAUGCCAACACAAAAUAAAUGUGGAGAAAGACGCCAAACUAGUUAGAGAUCCUCAAUGACGGUUGAAUCCUAAGAUGAAAGAAGUGGUAAGAAAGGAGAUACUAAAGCUCCUUGAGGCAGGUAUAAUUUAUCCCGUUGCUGAUAGUGAUUGGUAAGUCAUGUCCAUUGUGUUCCUAAAAAGGGAGGUAUUACUGUUGUUCCUAAUGAUAAAGAUGAAUUGAUCCCGCAAAGAAUCAUUACAGGUUAUAGGAUGGUAAUUGAUUUUCAUAAAUUAAAUAAAGCUACUAAGAAAGAUCAUUACCCUUUACCUUUUAUUGAUCAAAUGCUAGAAAGACUAUCCAAACACACACAUUUAUGCUUUCUAGAUGGUUAUUCUGGUUUCUCUCAAAUACCUGUGUCAGCGGAGGAUCAAUCAAAAACUACUUUUACUUGCCCUUUUGGUACUUUUGCUUAUAGAUGUAUGCCUUUUGGUUUAUGUAAUGCACCUUCUACCUUUCAAAGAUGCAUGAUGGCUAUAUUCUCUAACUUUUGUGAAAAGAUUUGUGAGGUAUUCAUGGAUGAUUUCUCCGUUUAUGGAUCCUAUUUUGAUGAUUGCUUGAGCAACCUUGAUCAAGUUUUGCAGAGAUGUGAAGACACUAGUCUCGUGUUGAAUUGGGAAAAGUGCCACUUUAUGGUUAAUGAAGGCAUUGUCUUGGGGCAUAAGAUUUCCGAGAGAGGUAUUGAAGUUGAUAAAGCUAAAGUUGAUGCUAUUGAAAAGAAGCCAUGUCCCAAGGACAUAAAAGGUAUAAGAAGUUUCCUUGGUCAUGUCGGUUUUUAUAGGAGGUUCAUUAAGGACUUUUCUAAAAUCUCUAGGCCUUUGACUAAUUUAUUGCAAAAAGAUAUUCCUUUUGUCUUUGAUGAUGAUUGUGUAGAAGCAUUUGAAAUACUCAAGAAAGCUUUGAACACUGCACCUAUUGUUCAGCCACCUGAUUGGAAUUUACCUUUUGAAAUUAUGUGUGAUGCUAAUGAUUAUGUUGUAGGUGUUGUUCUAGGGCAAAGAGUUGAUAAGAAAUUGAAUGAUCCAGUAUGCUAGUAAAACUCUUGAUACUGCCCAAAGAAAUUAUGCCACUACUGAAAAAUAGUUCUUAGCAUUUGUAUUUGCUUGUGAUAAGUUUAGACCUUAUAUUGUUGAUUCUAAAGUUACUAUUCACACUGAUCAUGCUGCUUCUUAUGGAAAAGAAAGAUGCUAAGCCUAGACUUAUUAGAUGGGUUCUCUUGCUCCAAGAAUUUUAUUUGCAUAUUAUUGAUAGAAAGGGAGCUGAGAACCCCGUUGCAGACAACUUGUCUAGGUUAGAGAAUGUUCUUGAUGACCCACUACCUAUUGAUGAUAGCUUUCCUGAUGAACAAUUAGCGGUCAUUAAUGCUUCUCGUACUACUCCAUGGUAUGCUGAUUAUGCUAAUUACAUUGUUGCUAAAUUUAUACCACCUAGUUUCACAUACCAACAAAAGAAAAAGUUCUUUUAUGAUUUAAGACAUUACUUCUGGGAUGACCCACACCUUUAUAAAGAAGGAGUAGAUGGUGUUAUUAGACGUUGUGUACCUGAGCAUGAACAGGAACAAAUCCUACGCAAGUGUCAUUCUGAAUCAUAUGGAGGACACCACGCUGGAGAUAGAACUGCACAUAAGGUAUUGCAAUCCGGUUUUUAUUGGCCUACUCUCUUCAAAGAUGCUCGUAAUUUUGUCUUGUCUUGUGAUGAAUGUCAAAGAAUUGGUAAUAUUAGUAGACGUCAAGAAAUUCCUAUGAAUUAUUCUCUUGUUAUUGAACCGUUUGAUGUUUGGGGAUUUGAUUAUAUGGGACCUUUUACUGCCUCUAAUGGUUAUACACAUAUUUUAGUUGUUGUUGAUUACGUUACUAAGUGGGUAGAAGCUAUUCCAACUAGUAGUGAUGAUCAUAACACUUCUAUUAAAAUGCUUAAAGAAGUUAUUUUUCCUGAGGUUUGGAGUCCCUAGAUAUCUUAUGACUGAUGGUGGUUCACAUUUUAUUCCUGGUGCUUUCCGUAAGAUGCUUGCUAAGUAUGAUGUUAAUCAUAGAAUCACAUCUCCUUAUCACCCGCAGUCUAGUGGUCAAGUAGAGUUGAGCAAUAGAGAGCUCAAAUUAAUUUUGCAAAAGACUGUGAAUAGAUCUAGAAAGAACUGGUCCAAAAAACUUGAUGAUGCAUUAUGUAUAGAACUGCAUAUAAAAAUCCUAUGGGUAUGUCUCCGUAUAAGAUGGUUUAUGGAAAAGCAUGUCACUUACCUCUUGAACUUGAACAUAAAGCAUACUGGGCUAUUAAAGAGCUCAAUUAUGACUUCAAACUUGCCGGUGAGAAGAGGUUAUUUGAUAUUAGCUCACUUGAUGAAUGGAGAAACCAAGCCUAUGAGAAUGCCAAGCUAUUCAAAGAAAAAGUCAAACACUAGCAUGACAAAAGGAUACAAAAGAGUGAGUUUAACGUAGGUGAUUAUGUGUUACUAUUCAACUCUCAUUUAAGAUUUUUUGCAGGAAAACUUCUCUCUAAAUGGGAAGGUCCUUAUGUUAUCGAGGAGGUCUAUCGUUUCGGUGCCAUAAAAAUCAACAACUUCGAAGGCACAAGUCCGAGGGUGGUGAAUGGUCAAAGAAUUAAACAUUAUAUCUCAGGUAAUCCUAUCAAUGUUGAAACUAAUAUUAUUGAGACCGUAACCCCGGAGGAAUACAUAAGGGACACUUUCCAGAACGUUUCAGACUCCGAAAAGGAAUAGGUAUGUGGUACGGUAAGUAAACCGACUCCAAAGCAGUUCUAAUGGCAAUUUUCCUCCGUUUUUGAAUAUUUAAGAAUUUUGGAAAGAAAUAAGUAGUCCGGGAAGGACACGAGGCCUCCACGAGGGUGGAGGGUGCGCCCACCCUUACUAGGCGCUCCCCCCUGUCUCGUGGCCACCUCGUGUGCCUCCCGGACUCCAUUUUCUUGCAUGUUACGUAUUUUUGUCGGUAAAAAUUCAUUAUAUAAUCUCCUGAAGGUUUUGACUACUGUAUCACGCAUAUAUCCUCUGUUUUCGUUUCGAGCUGUUUUUCUGACAGAUCUAGAGCACCAUGAUGUUGCCCCCCUUCAACAAUGAAGACAAGGAUGCUUGGCUAUUGAAGAUAGAGCUGAAAACAGAAGAACCUAAAGAGAUCAACAAGGAUGAAGGGAUUAAGAAGGCCAUGGAGGUUCAAGCUCCGGCGGUGGAAGAAGAAGACAUCCCCCAACCUUUACCUAACAUCUUUACUCCAACUGAGAUUGAAGCUUUCAAGAUGAUUGAGUUAGCUCGCAUACAGAAUAAGUAUCUCACACGGGAGAAUAUUUUGUUGAAGGAUCAUAUCGCCGGACUCAAGGGCAUUAUCCGCAAGUUGGAGGAGCUUUUACGCUCGAUGUGCGAUUAUCCACCAUCAUCAUCACCACCUCCAUCACCUCCGAGGACAUAAUUACAUGGGUAUGGGCACUCCCCUUGGCAACUGCCAAGCUUGGGGGAGGUGCCCCGGUAUCGUAUCACCAUCACACUCCUAUCUUUACCGUUUUACUUAGUUUGAUUAUUUUAGUAGUAUCUUGAUCUAGUAGAUUGAAGUUUUGGUGUGAAUUAGUUUUAAGUUUUGCUUUGUGAUCUCUUUCUGUAAUCAAGUCCGUGAGCUAUCUAUAAUAAAGAUUAGUGUUGAGUCAAGGGCUUCGCUAUCUUGCUAUGAUCUUGAGAAAGUAGAAAGAACAAAAAGAAUAAAAGAGUUCAUAUUGAUCUCAUGGAUAGUAAUGACUUCACACAUAAAGAGUAUGAGGCAUAAAAGUUGUUGAGAGUUGACAAACAUAGCUUUGGUCAUCGUUGCAAUUAAUAGGAAGUAAUAAGGAAAGAGAGGUUUUCACAUAUAAAUAUACUAUCUUCGACAUCUUUUAUGAUUGUGAGCACUCAUUAAGUAUGACAUGCUAAAAGAGUUGAUGUUGGACAAGGAAGACAACGUAAUGGUUUAUGUUUCCUCACAUCUCAUUUAAAGUAUAUUGUCAUUGAUCUUCCCAACAUGUUGAGCUUGCCUUUCCCCCUCAUGCUAGCCAAAUUCCUUGCACCAAGUAGAGAUACUACUUGUGCUUCCAAAUAUCCUUAUACCCAGUUUUUGCCAGGAGAGUCCACCAUACCUACCUAUGGAUUGAGAAGAGCCUUCAAGUAAGUUGUCAUCGGUGCAAGCAAUAAAAAUUCCUCUCUAAAUAUGUAUGAUCUAUUAGUGUGAAAAAAUAAGCUUUAUACGAUCUUGUUAUGGAAGCAAUAAAAGCGACGGACUGCAUAAUAAAGGUCCAUAUACAAGUGGCAAUAUAAAGUGAUGUUCUUUUGCAUUAAGAUUUUGUGCAUCCAACCCUAAAAGCGCAUGACAGCCUCUGCUUCCCUCUGCGAAGGGCUUGUCUUUUACUUUAUGUUUUUACUUUAUGCUUGAGUCAAGGUGAUCUCCACCUUUCCCUUCUAUUUUUAUCCUUUGGCAAACUCCUCGUGUUUGAAAGAUCCUGGAAUAUAUAUCCAAUUGGAUGUAAGUUAGCAUGAACUAUUAUUGUUGACAUCACCCAAAGGUGAAUACGUUGGGAGGCAACACAAUAAGCCCCUAUCUUUCUCAGUGUCCGAUUAAAACUCCAUAACCACAAGUAUUGCGUGAGUGUUAGCAAUUGUAGAAGACUAUAUGAUAGUUGAGUAUGUGGACCUGCUGAAAAGCUCUAUUCUUGACUCUUUCUGAUGUUAUGAUAAAUUGCAAUUGCUUCAAUGACUGAGAUUAUAGUUUGUUAGUUCUCAAUGAAGUUUUUUGAACCAUACUUGACAUUGUGAAUUGAUUGUUACUUGAGCAUAAGAAAUCAUAUGACAAAAUCUAUAUAUGUUGCUAUUAUAAGAAUGAUCAUGAUGCCCUCAUGUCCGUAUUUUAUUUUUAUCGACACCUCUAUCUCUAAACAUGUGGACAUAUUUUUCGAUUUUAGCUUCCGCUUGAGGACAAGCAAGGUCUAAGCUUGGGGGAGUUGAUACGUCCAUUUUGCAUCAUGCUUUUAUAUCGAUAUUUAUUGAAUUAUGGGCUGUUAUUACACAUUAUGUCUCAAUACUUAUGGCUAUUCUCUCUUAUUUUACAAGGUUUACCAUGAAGAGGGGGGGUGCCGGCAGCUAGAAUUCUGGCUGGAAAAGGAGCAAAUACUGGAAACUUAUUCUGCACAACUCCAAAAAUCCUCAAACUCCACGAAAGCUAUUUUUGGAAUUAAUAAGAAUUAUUGAGCGAAGAAAGCACCAGAGGGGGCCCACACCCUGGCCAGGAGGGUGGGGGGCGCGCCCACCCCUACUGGGCACGCCCCCUAUCUCCUGGCCCCCCUGGUGGCCCUCCGGUGCCCAUCUUCUGCUAUAUGAAGGCUUUUACCCUGGAAAAAAAUCAGAGGCAAGCUUACAGGACGAAACUCCGCCGCCACGAGGCAGAACCUUGGUGGAAUCAAUCUAGGGCUCUGGCGGAGCUGUUCUGUUGGGGAAACUUCCAUUUGGGAGGGGGAAAUCAUCACCAUCGUCAUCACCAACGAUCCUCUCAUCGGGAGGGGGUCAAUAUCCAUCAACAUCUUCACCAGCACCAUCUCCUCUCAAACCCUAGUUCAUCUCUUGUAUCCAAUCUUGUAUCCAAAACCAUAGAUUGGUACAUGUGGGUUGCUAGUAGUGUUGAUUACUCCUUGUAGUUGAUGCUAAUUGGUUUAUUUGGUGGAAGAUCAUAUGUUCAGAUCCUUAAUGCAUAUUAGUACUCCUCUGAUCAUGAACAUGAAUAUGCUUUGUGAGUAGUUACGUUUGUUCUUGAGGACAUGGGUGAAGUCUUGCUAUUAGUAGUCAUGUGAAUUUGAUAUUCGUUCGAUAUUUUGAUGAGAUGUGUGUUGUCUUUCCUCUAGUGGUGUUAUGUGAACGUCGACUACAUGACACUUCACCAUUAUUUGGGCCUAGAUGAAGGCAUUGGGAAGUAAUAAGUAGAUGAUGGGUUGCUAGAGUGACAGAAGCUUAAACCCUAGUUUAUGCGUGUCUUCGUAAGGGGCUGAUUUGGAUCCAUAUGUCUAAUGUUGUGGUUAGGUUUACCUUAAUACUUCUUUUGUAGUUGCGGAUGCUUGCAAUAGGGGUUAAUCAUAAGUGGGUUGCUUGUCCAAGUAAGGGAAGUACCCAAGCACCGGUCCACCCACAUAUCAAAUUAUCAAAGUAUUGAACGCAAAUCAUAUGAGCGUGAUGAAAACUAGCAUGACGAUAAUUCCCAUGUGUCCUCGGGAGCUCUUUUCUCAUUAUAAGAAAUUGUCGAGGAUUGUCCUUUGCUACAAAAAGGAUUGGGCCACCUUGCUGCACUUUAUUUACUUUCAUUGCUUGUUACUCGUUACAAUUUAUCUUAUCACAAAACUAUGUGUUACUUACAAUUUCAGUGCUUGCAGAGAAAACCUUACUGAAAACCGCUUGUCAUUUCCUUCUGCUCCUCGUUGGGUUCGACACUCUUACUUAUCGAAAGGACUAUGAUAGAUCCCCUAUACUUGUGGGUCAUCGGCGACACGGGGCUGGAUGCGGUCACGGUCAUGGUGACCGCCACCACUUGACGAAGACCAGGCAGCGCGAACGACGGCCUACGGCAGCAAAACAAGGAGAGGGAAGAGGACGACGGAUGGCCGCUCACAUCGGAGCCGUAGGGGAGCGGCAAUGGGCUCUGUUCUUUGUGAACUUAAUACUCUAGAUGUAGGCAGGAGUCUGUCGAUGUGUGGAGUAAUAGUAGUAGAUGCAGGUAGCAGUCGGUCUACUUGUUGCGGACGUGAUACCUAUAUACAUGAUCAUGCCUAGAUAAUCUCAUAAUUAUUCACUUUUCUAUCAAUUGCUCGACAGUAAUUUGUUCACCCACCGUAAUACUUAUGCUAUCUCGAGAGAAGCCUCUAGUGAAACUUAUGGCCCCUGGGUCUAUCUCUUAUCAUAUUUGCUUCAAAUCUACUUUUAUUUGUAUUUUUACUUUUUGCAUCUAUAUUAUAAAAUACCAAAAAUAUACUUAUCUUAUCGUACUAUCUCUAUCAGAUCUCACUUUUGCAAGUGGCCAUGAAGGGAUUGACAACUCCUUUAUUGCGUUGGUUGCGAGUUCUUUGUUUGUUUGUGUAGGUGCGUGGGACUUGUUGAGAAGCCUCCUACUGUAUUGAUACCUUGGUUCUCAAAAACUAAGGUAAAUACUUACGCUACUCUGCUGCAUCACCCUUUCCUCUUCAAGGAAAACCAACGCAAGCUCAAGACGUAGCAAGAAGGAUUUCUAGCACCGUUGCCAGGGAGGUCUUCACUCAAGUCAAGACAUACCAAGUACCCAUCACAAACUCAUCUCCCUCGCAUUUACAUUAUUUGCCAUUUGCCUCUCGUUUUCCUCUCCCCCACUUCACCCUUGCCAUUUUAUUCGCCCUCUCUUUCCCAAUCUCCUCUCUUUUCCGUUUUCCAUUUUCUGUUUGCUUGUGUGUUGGAUUACUUGUUGCCAUGGCGCAAGAUAAUACCAAAUUGUGUGAUUUCUCGAAUACCUAUAAUAAUGAUUUCCUUAGUACUCCGAUUGCUCCUCUUAAUGAUGUUGAGUCUUGUGAAAUCAAUACUGCUUUGCUGAAUCUUGUUAUGAAAGAUCAAUUCGCCGGCCUUCCUAGUGAAGAUGCCGCUACUCAUCUAAACAAUUUUGUUGAUUUGUGUGAUAUGCAAAAGAAGAAAGAUACGGAUAACAAUAUUGUUAAAUUGAAGUUAUUUCCGUUUUCACUUAGCGAUCGUGCUAAAGUUUGGUUUUCGUCUUUGCCUAAAAAUAGUAUUGAUUAUUGGAACAAGUGCAAAGAUGCUUUUAUCUCUAAGUAUUUUCCUCCCGCUAAGAUUAUCACUCUUAGGAACGAUAUUAUGAAUUUUAAACAACUUGAUCAUGAGCAUGUUGCCCAAUCUUGGGAAAGAAUGAAAUUGAUGAUUCGCAAUUGCCCUACUCAUGGUUUGAAUUUAUGGAUGAUCAUACAAAAAUUUUAUGUCAGUUUGAACUUUGCUUCUAUAAAUCUCUUAGAUUCGGCCGCGGGAGGCACAUUUAUGGAAAUCACGUUAGGAGAUGCUACAAAACUUCUUGAUAAUAUUAUGGCUAAUUAUUCUCAAUGGCACACCGAAAGAUCUUCUAGUAAAAAAGUGCAUGCUAUAGAAGAAAUCAAUGUUUUGAGUGGAAAGAUGGAUGAACUUAUGAAGUUGUUUGCUACUAAAAAUACUCCUCUUGAUCCCAAUGAUAUGCCUUUGUCUACUUUGAUUGAGAGUAAUAAUAAAUCUAUGGAUGUGAAUUUUGUUGGUAGGAAUAGUUUUGGAAACAAUGCUUAUAGAGGAAACUUUAAUGCUAGACCGUUCCCUAGUAAUUCCUCUAAUAAUUAUGGAAAUUCCUACGAUAAUUCUUAUGGUAAUUAUAAUCAUAUGCCCUCUGAUUUUGAGAAUAGUGUGAAAGAAUUUAUGAUUUCUCAAAAUAAUUUUAAUGCCUUGCUUGAAGAAAAAUUGCUCAAAGUUGAUGAUUUGGCUAGGAACGUUGAUAGACUUUCGCUUGAUGUUGAUUCUCUUAAAAUUAGAUCUUCUUAUCCUAAGCAUGAUAUCAAUGAGUCUCUCAAAGCAAUGAGAAUUUCCAUUGAUGAGUGUAAGGAAAGAACCGCUAGAUUGCAUGCUAAAAAAGAUAGCUUUAUAAAGGCGUGUUCUUCUAAUUUCCAUGAAAAUAAUGAUGAAGAUCUUAAAGUUAUUGAUGCAUCUCCUAUUAGAUCUAUGUUUUGCAAUAUGAAUCUUGAUAAUUAUGGGACUGAUGAUGAGUCAACUUUACCUAGAAGGUGUCCCAAGAAUUUGGAGUCUUUAGAUCUUGAUGCUAAAUUUGGUAACAGUGAGAUUGGAGAGGUCAUGACUUUAAAUAGUAUUGAACCCACUAUCUCGGAUUUCAAGGAAUUUGAUUAUGAUAAUUGUUCUUUAGAAGGUUGUAUUUCCUUGUUGCAAUCCGUUGUUAAUUCUCCUCAUGCUUAUAGCCAAAAUAAAGCUUUUACCAAACAUAUUGUUGAUGCCUUGAUGCAAUCUUAUGAUGAAAAACUUAAUUUGGAAGUUUCUAUACCUAGAAAACUUAACGAUGAGUGGGAACCUACUAUAAAGAUUAGAAUUAAAGAUCAUGAGUGUUUUGCUUUGUGUGAUUUGGGUGCUAGUGUUUCCAUGAUUCCGAAAAGUUUAUGUGAUAUUCUAGGUUUCCACGAUCUUGAUGAUUGCUCUUUAAAUUUACACCUUGUGGAUUCCACCAUUAAAAAGCCAAUGGGAAGGAUCAAUCAUGUUCUCAUUGUUGCAAAUAGAAAUUUGGUGCCCGUGGAUUUUAUCGUUCUUGAUAUAGAUUGCAAUCUUUCUUGCCCUAUUAUUCUUGGUAGACUUUUCCUUAGAAUGAUUGUCGCGAUUAUUGAUAUGAAGGAAGGGAAUAUUAGAUUCCAAUUUCCAUUAAAGAAAGGCAUGUAGCACUUUCCAAGAAACAAAGUCAAAUUACCUUAUGAAUCUAUCAUGCGUGCUACUUAUGAAUCAAGUGCCAAAGAUGGCACUACUUAGAUCUAUCUUCGCAUUUAUGCCUAGCUAGGGGCGUUAAACGAUAGCGCUAGUUGGGAGGCAACCCAAUUUUCUUUAUGUUUUUUGUUUUUGAUCCUGUUUAGUAAUAAAUUUUGCAUCUACUUUCUGUUUAGAUGUGUUUUUACCUUUUAAUUAGUGUUUGUGCCAAAUAGAACCAUAGGAUAAACUAUGAUGAUAGUUGAUUUGAUUCUGCUGAAAAACAAAAACAUUGUGCUCAUGAGAAAAAAUUCAAUAAAUCACAAAAACGUUCUUUUGCAUUGAUUCUUAUUUCUGCUGAUCAAUAAACAAAUUGUCCAGUACGUCCUAUUUUGGUAGGAUUUUUAUAGUUCCAGAACUUUGCAUUAGUUACAGAUUGCUAUAGACUGUUCUGUUUUUGACAGAUUCUGUUUUUCAUGUAUUGUUUGCUUAUUUUGAUGCAUCUAUGGCUAGUAAAAUAGUUUAUAAACCAUAGAGAAGUUGGAAUACAGUAGGUUUAACACCAAAAUAAAUAAAGAAUGAGUUCAUUACAGUACCUUAUAUGGUGGUUUUGUUUUCUUUCACUAACGGAGCUUAUAAGAUUUCCUGUUGAGUUUUGUGUUGUGAAGUUUUCCAGUUUUGGGUAAAGCUUUUUAUGGACUAUGGAAUAAGGAGUGGCAAAAGCCUAAGCUUGGGGAUGCCCAAGGCACCCCAAGAUAUUCAAGGAUAGCCAAAAGCCUAAGCUUGGGGACGCCCCGGGAAGGCAUCCCCUCUUUCGUCUUCGUUCAUUGGUAACUUUACUUGGAGCUAUAUUUUUAUUCGCCACAUGAUAUGUGUUUUGCUUGGAGCGUCGUGUAUUAUAUUAGUAUUUGCUUUUUAGUUUAACACAAUCAUCCUUGCUAUACACACCUUUUUGGAGAAGCCUAUUUGAUUAGAAUUUGCUAGAAUACCCUAUGUGCUUCACUUAUAUUUUUUAGAGCACGGCGGUGGCUUGAUUUUAUAGAAAUUAUUAGUCUCUCAUGCUUCACUUAUAUUAUUUUGAGAGUCUCUUAGAACAGCAUGUAUUUGCUAUGGUUACAAAGUUGGUCCUAGAAUGGUAGGCAUCCAAGUUGGGUAUAAUAAAAACUAUCACAGAAAAAGAAUUGGAUGCUAUGAUCAAUAUGAUGCUUGAUAAUUGUUUUGAGAUAUGGAGGUAGUGAUAUUAGAGUCAUGCUAGUUUAGGUGAUUAUGAAAAAUACUUGUGUUGAGGGUUGUGAUUCCCGUAGCAUGCACGUAUGGUGAACCGCUUUGUGAUGAAGUUGGAGCACAAUUUUAUUUAUUGAGUGUCUUCCUUAUGAGUGGCGGUCGGGGACGAGUGAUGGUCUUUUCCUACCAAUCUAUCCCCCUAGGAGCAUGCGCGUAGUGCUUUGGUUUUUGAUGACUUCUAGAUUUUUGCAGCAAGUACAUGAGUUCUUUUGAUUAAUGUUGAGUCCAUGGAUUAUACACACCUCAUCCUUCCAUUAUUGCUAGCCUCUCUUGUGUCGCGCAACUUUCGCCGGUACUAUACACCCACCAUAUACCUUCCUCAAAACAGCCACCAUACCUACCUAUUAUGGCAUUUCCAUAGCCAUUCCGAGAUAUAUUGCCAUGCAACUUUCCACCGUUCUGUUCAUAUGACACGCAUUACUUUUUGUCAUAUUGCUCUUUGCAUGAUCAUGUAGUUGACAUCGUAUUUGUGGCAAGGCCACUUUCAUAAUUUUCAUACAUGUCACUAAUGAUUCAUUGCAUAUCCCGGUACACCGCCGGAGGUAUUCAUAUAGAGUCAUAUCUUGUUCUAGCUUUGAGUUGUAACUCUUGAGUUGUAAAUCCAUAAAAGUGUGAUGAUCUUCAUUAUUAGAGCAUUGUCCUAGUGAGGAAAGGAUGAUGAAGACUAUGAUUCCCCCACAAGUCAGGAUGAGACUUCGGACUUAAAAAAAGGAGAAAGAAAAAAAGGGGAUAAAUGCCAAAAAGAAAAAAACGGCCAAAGAAAAAAGAAAACAAAAAGAAAACAAAAAAAUAUAUAAUGAGAGAAAAAGAGAGAAGGGACAAUGCUACUAUCUCUUUUUCCACACUUGUGCUUCAAAGUAGCACCAUGAUCUUCAUGAUAGAGAGUCUCUUAUGUUGUCACUUUCAUAUACUAGUGGGAAUUUUUCAUUACAGAACUUGGCUUGUAUAUUCCAAUGAUGGGCUUCCUCAAAAGUGCCCUAGGUCUUCAUGAGCAAGCAAGCUGGAUGCACACCCACUUAGUUUCUUUUGUUGAGCUUUCAUAUAUUUAUAGCUCUAGUGCAUCCGUUGCAUGGCAAUACCUACUCACUCACAUUGAUAUCUAUUAAUGGGCAUCUCCAUAGCCCGUUGAUACGCCUAGUUGAUGUGAGACUAUCUUCUCUUUCUUUCUGUCUUCUCCACAACCACCAUUCUAUUCCACAUAUAGUGCUAUGUCCAUGGCUCACGCUCAUGUAUUGCGUGAAAGUUGAAAGAGUUUGAGAUUAUUAAAGUAUGAAACAAUUGCUUGGCUUGUCAUCGGGGUUGUGCAUGAUUAAAUACUUUGUGUGAUGAAGAUAGAGCAACAUCCAGACUAUAUGAUUUUGUAGGGAUAACUUUCUUUGGCCAUGUUAUUUUGAGAAGACAUGAUUACUUUGAUUAGUAUGCUUGAAGUAUCACCAUUUUCAUGUUAAUAUGAACUUUCAUUUUGUAUCAUUUGGAUCUGAACAUUCAUGCCACAAUAAAGAAAAUUACGUUAAGAAUUAUGCUAGGUAGCAUUCUACAUCAAAAAUUCUCUUUUUAUCAUUUACCUACUCGAGGACGAGCAGGAAUUAAGCUUGGGGAUGCCUGAUACGUCUCCAACGUAUCUAUAAUUUUUAUUGUUCCAUGCUAUUAUAUUACCCCUUUUGGAUGUUUAUGGGCUUUAUUUUACACAUUUAUAUCAUUUUUGGGACUAACCUACUAACCGGAGGCCUAACCCGUAUUGCUGUUUUUUUGCCUAUUUCAAUAUUUCGAAGAAAAGGAAUAUCAAACGGAGUCCAAACGGAAUGAAACCUUUGGGAGCAUGAUUUUUGGAACGAACGUGAUCCAGAGGACUUGGAGUGCAAGUCAAGAAGCAGCCGAAGCUUCCACGAGAUAGGAGGCCCCCCCCCUAUAGGGUGCGCCCCCCUUUCUCGUGGGCCCCUCGGGCGUCCACCAACGUACUUCUUCCUCCUAUAUAAGCCUAUGUACCCCGAAAACAUCCAGGGAACAGGCGAAACACAAUUUCCACCACCGUAACCUUCUGUAUCCGCGAGAUCCCAUCUUGGAGCCUUUGCCGGCGUUCUGCCGGAGGGGGAAUCGACCAUGGAGGGCUUCUACAUCAACACCCUUGCCCCUCCGAUGAGUUGUGAGUAGUUUACCAUAGACCUACGGGUCCAUAGUUAUUAGCUAGAUGGCUUCUUCUCUCUUUUUGGAUCUCAAUACAAUGUUCUCCUCCUCUCUUGUGGAGAUCUAUUUGAUGUAGUCAUGUGAAUUUGGUAUUCGUUCGAUAUUUUGAUGAGAUGUGUGUUGUCUUUCCUCUAGUGGUGUUAUGUGAACGUCGACUACAUGACACUUCACCAUUAUUUGGGCCUAGAGGAAGGCAUUGGGAAGUAAUAAGUAGAUGAUGGGUUGCUAGAGUGACAGAAGCUUAAACCCUAGUUUAUGCGUGUCUUCGUAAGGGGCUGAUUUGGAUCCAUAUGUCUAAUGUUGUGGUUAGGUUUACCUUAAUACUUCUUUUGUAGUUGCGAAAGCUUGCAAUAGGGGUUAAUCAUAAGUGGGUUGCUUGUCCAAGUAAGGGCAGUACCCAAGCACCGGUCCACCCACAUAUCAAAUUAUCAAAGUAUUGAACGCGAAUCAUAUGAGCGUGAUGAAAACUAGCAUGACGAUAAUUCCCAUGUGUCCUCGGGAGCUCUUUUCUCAUUAUAAGAAAUUGUCCAGGCUUGUCCUUUGCUACAAAAAGGAUUGGGCCACCUUGCUGCACUUUAUUUACUUUCAUUGCUUGUUACUCGUUACAAUUUAUCUUAUCACAAAACUAUCUGUUACUUACAAUUUCAGUGCUUGCAGAGAAAACCUUACUGAAAACCUCUUGUCAUUUCCUUCUGCUCCUCGUUGGGUUCGACACUCUUACUUAUCUAAAGGACUAUGAUAGAUCCCCUAUACUUGUGGGUCAUCAGCGACACGGGGCUGGAUGCGGUCACGGUCGCGGUGACCGCAGCCACUUGACAAAGACCAGGCAGCGCGAACGAUAGCCUACGGCAGCGAAACGAGGAGAGAGAAGAGGAGGAUGGACGGCCACUCACAUUGGAGCCGUAGGGGAGCGGCAAUGGGCUCGGGGAGGUACGACGAGGUAGGGGCGACGGCGGUGAGGUCCUGUGGUGACGUCGGGGCGGCGGUGUCUGAUACAUCUCCAACGUAUCUAUAACUUUUGAUUGUUCCGUGCUAUUAUAUUACCCCUUUUGGAUGUUUAUGGGCUUUAUUUUACACAUUUAUAUCAUUUUUGGGACUAACCUACUAACCGGAGGCCCAGCCCGUAUUGCUGUUUUUUUGCCUAUUUCAGUAUCUCGAAGAAAAGGAAUAUCAAACGGACUCCAAACGGAAUGAAACCUUCGGGAGCGUGAUUUUUGGAACGAACGUGAUCCAGAGGACUUGGAGUGCAAGUCAAGAAGCAGCCGAAGCUUCCACGAGAUAGGAGGGCGCCCCCCCCCCCCCUAUAGGGCGCGCCCCCUGUCUCAUGGGCCCCUCGGGCGUCCACCGACGUACUUCUUCCUCCUAUAUAAGCUUACAUACCCCGAAAACAUCAAGGGAGCAGGCGAAACACAAUUUCCACCACCGUAACCUUCUGUAUCCGCGAGAUCCCAUCUUGGAGCCUUCGCCGGUGUUCUGCCAGAGGGGGAAUCGACCAUGGAGGGCUUCUACAUCAACACCCUUGCCCCUCCGAUGAGUUGUGAGUAGUUUACCACAGACCUACAGGUCCAUAGUUAUUAGCUAGAUGGCUUCUUCUCUCUUUUUGGAUCUCAAUACAAUGUUCUCCCCCUCUCUUGUGGAGAUCUAUUUGAUGUAAUCUCUUUUUGCGGUGUGUUUGUCGAGAUCCGAUGAAUUGUGGGUUUAUGAUCAAGUUUAUCUAUGAAUAAUAUUUGAAUCUUCUCUGAAUUAUUUUAUGUAUGAUUGAGUUAUCUUUGCAAGUCUCUUCGAAUUAUCAGUUUCGUUUGGCCUACUAGAUUGAUCUUUCUUGCCAUGGGAGAAGUGCUUAGCUUUGGGUUCAAUCUUGCGGUGUCCUUACCUAGUGACAGAACGGGUUGCAAGGCACGUAUUGUAUUGUUGCCAUCGAGGAUAAAAAGAUGGGGUUUAUAUCAUAUUGCUUGAGUUUAUCCCUCUACAUCAUGUCAUCUUGCUUAAUGUGUUACUCUGUUCUUUGUGAACUUAAUACUCUAGAUGCAGGCAGGAGUCGGUCGAUGUGUGGAGUAAUAGUAGUAGAUGCAGGCAGCAGUCGGUCUACUUAUUGUGGACGUGAUACCUAUAUACAUGAUCAUGCCUAGAUAAUCUCAUAAUUAUUCGCUUUUCUAUCAAUUGCUCGACAGUAAUUUGUUCACCCACCGUAAUACUUAUGCUAUCUCGAGAGAAGCCUCUAGUGAAACCUAUGGCCCCCGGGUCUAUCUCUUAUCAUAUUUGCUUCCAAUCCACUUUUAUUUGCAUCUUUACUUUUUGCAUCUAUAUUAUAAAAUACCAAAAAUAUACUUAUCUUAUCGUACUAUCUCUAUCAGAUCUCACUUUCAUAAGUGGCCGUGAAGGGAUUGACAACCCCUUUAUUGUGUUGGUUGCGAGUUCUUGUUUGUUUAUGUAGGUGUGUGGGACUUGUUGAGAAGCCUCCUACUGGAUUGAUACCUUGGUUCUCAAAAACUGAGGGAAAUACUUACGCUACUCUGCUGCAUCACCCUUUCCUCUUCAAGGAAAACCAACACAAGCUCAAGACAUAGCAGUGUCCAGGCGGCGGGGCGUGACUCGAUCCGGCGGCUUCGGAGUCGGUGACGGGGCGAGACGGUGGCAAGUACGGGCGCCGAUGUCGAGGAGUGGGACAGCGCGGUCGCCGGGGAGAGGCGGCAGGGUCGGCACGAGGCCGAGGGGGUGAUGGGAUCGGGGCGCUGAGCGCUGGGGCGCUCCCGAUCCAGAUCGCGCGAUGGGGGGAAUGGGGAUCGUGGGGAGAGGGGUUAGGGUUUCGGUGCAAGUGCGGGGGGUUAUGCGGGGAGAGGUGGGCCGACCGGGGUGGGCUGGCCGACUGGGCCGGCCAGUUGGCUAGCUGGGCCGGUCGGCUCAGUUGGCCAAGGGGGGUCUCUUUUGCAUUUUAAUUUUUUUUGUAAAACUCUGCUACUGUUUUCUAAUAAACUGUAAAUCUAAACAAGUUUUGUUAGAUAUGAGACUUACCUCAUAAAUCAAGCACUUUAUUUCUACGAGUCACAAACUGUUGGAGGCCAAAAGGAGUUGUCUAAUUAAUUUUAGAAAUUGGAAAGACCAAUUUUAAAUGCUGCUGGACCAUGAAAUAAUUUCCAGGGGCACUUUGGGAAUCCAAAAGGGGUUGUUUCCAACAUGACAAAUAUCCAAGGAUUAUUUGCCACACAUUGAACAUUUUUAUUUGCAUGUUUGAGAAUUUUGAAUUUUGACUUCAAUUUCAAUUUGGAAUUUGAACUGUGUUUGAAUGCAAAGGGGGAUUAGUAACAGUAAGAGUGAUGACAUGGCACCAUUAACAUGGGAUUACUAUAGCUUAAUUAUCCGAGCGUCACAACGUAUGUACCAGAAGAGGGGCACCGAAGGUGGGCCGAGGGGAGCACAAUCCACCAGGGUGCGCUUGGGCUCCCUGGCGCCCAUGUGGGUUGUGCCCACCUGGUGGGCCCCCUAUGGUAUUUAUUUGCUCCAAUAAUUCUCAUUUAUUCAAUAAAAAUUCCUCGUGAAGUUUCAGCUCAUUUGGAGUUGUGCAGAAUAGGUAGCCUGACGUAGCUUUUUUAGGUCCAGUUUUCCAGCUGCCGGAAUUCUCCCUCUUUGUGUGUACCUUGCAUAUUAUGAGAGAAAAGGCAUUAGAAUUACUCCAAAAAGCAUUAUUAUGCAAUAAAACAUUAUAAAUAACAGUACAUGAUGCAAAAUGGACGUAUCAAGCUGUCCGGCCCUUCUCUUCCUACCCCUGUAUGUUCCCCAUCCUUUCCCCAUCCAUGAUAUCAAGCACCGGCACUGGCAGAGGCAACUGAUCCAGCCAUGAUCACGAAUGGGACACCUUCAUCCGUGAGGCGGUGGACGACGAAGAGCUUGCCCUAUGCAUCGCGCUGCAGCGCUCGCGGUGGACACGGGCGUCAACUCCGGCUUUGCUCCGUCCCCUGUCGCCCGCCACCACGGCGUGGACGCCGUGGCCGGCCCGUUCCGCACCGCACACAGCUCCGCACGACCGACCUACCACGCAUUGCUGGCCCGCCGCCCUCCUAACCGUCCAACAAAUGUUCCUCAAGGGCAUCGGUGGGUGCUCAUGUCAGACCCGUCGGCACCACAGACGCGGACCUUUUAAUCUAAGGUGCUUGCCGUCCGUUGCGAGACGCAUCAGGCUAGGUAGAGGGCGGUGAUGUCAGAGGCGAUGGUCGUAUAGUCCUCCCGACGCCGUCACGGAUUGCCGGCGGUGCUUGAUGAGAGGAGAAACUCCUCGCAAUUGUCUACUGUCGCUCAGCUAUGACAGCGGAGAUGGACGCCCACCGGCUCCAUUGGAAGAACCCUGAAGGCAGUCCGGCUCGGUCUGGAGCAGUCGACACGCGAGGCGGCGGAGGGGGCGAUGGCGGAUGCGAGAGUGGCAAAGCUCGUGAGGUAGCAGAACCGCGUCGUCUAGAGGACUGCCAACUACAUCGACUCCUCCUACUACUACUAUGGCUCCGACAACCCUCACGUGCCGCUGGUGCCUACACGAACAUCUAGCCACGCUGGUGACCGGAAGUGCAAAGGACCGGCGAGGAAGUGGUGAAGAAGCUCAGCCCUUUUCCGUCUUUAUUGCUGGUUUUAGUAAUUUUACUUUAGAACUAUGCUCGUCAGUAAACCGUGGUGGUUGUUUGCUCUAUGUUCGGAUUACAUGGAUUUCUAUGUCCGAGUUAUGUCAAUUUCUAUGUUUGUUUGUUCGGUGUCUAUUUGUUUUGUUGAUGAUCUCCGUUGUUUUGUUUCAUGUUGGAUGUGUAGUAUGAAUUUAGGGUACUGGAUAUGUGGUACACGGUUGUGGACGCGGCGAUUUGAGAAUUGACCAGUCACUGUCCGCGGACAUUCCCGAGCGCAUCCUUACGCAUAUAUGUUGCCGGAUUUGGAUGCCUAGUUGUCGAUGAUCUUAGCCAUCAGAUGAUCGGGGUUCUUUGCAUGGCAUUUAAGUGGGUUAUAGACAUCGUGUACGACCAAUGCUAAAACACGUGGUAUCUUCUGCAUCCAUGGCCAUGGAUGCGACGAUUGGAUGUUUGAACACUGGACUUUUCUAUAGAACGGAGACAAUUGCCCAGCCUUAAGAAUGAGACGUUCAUUUGUAAAAGGUUCGAAACAAACAACAAAUAAUAUGCAAACGAAACAAAUGUUCGAUACAUGACCAGAAGGCCUACAUAGUGAAGCUUUUUUGCGGGUCAAAAUGGAAUUUUAUUUCAUAAUAAUGGGGUUACAAUUUCGAGACAAUAGUUCCUCACACCAAGGAGUACCCGAAUGCGUUCAUACCGCAAUACAAGCUUCGAUACGGCUAUAAUUGCCAAUUGAUGUGCUACCCUAUUUUUAUUUAUGUAAAAUUUCCGAGGAACAAAUUCCCUAGCUUUCAUGAUAGAUGUAAUCUCAACAGCUAGAUGACCAUAGGCCGGCCAGUAAAGAGCCUGGCCCAAGAGGAUAAACAACAGAGUCAGUGAAUCUGCUUGAACAAUUACUGGUUUGUCUGUAUGCUGAAUGGCAAGUGGCAUACCAUGCAUAAGUGCAUGAAUAUCUGCUUCCAGGGCUUUAGUACAAUGAAAGAUGUACCUAUAUGCCGCCAAGAUCACCGGUCCGUCCUCCCUGCAUAGCACCAUGCCAAUUGAUGCCCGGCCGUCCUAGCCCAAGAAAGAGUCAUUGACAAACAACGCCACCCAACCCAGUGGUGGUGGUGGCCAAGGCGAGGGAGGCUGAGUAGUGAACGUAGGUUUGAACAUUGGACUGCAUAACUCUAUAAACUGCAAAACUAGAUAUUCUAUCGUCUAUAAGUUCUUUAAGGAGGGUAACCUCAGCCUUUGCACGUUUGUGAUGCACAUAACCAUUUUUAUUAGAAAGGUCUUAGUUAUCCAAUACACUAACAAAAUUUAAAAAGUAACCACACCCAAUCGAAACAAAUAUACAUGUCAACAUACAUAACUCCGAGAUAAAAAAGGAAGACGAUAAUCGGCAAGGAGCAUAAUUAUAUGCCUACACACUCGCCAACCAAAUUGGUUGAACAAAAUUUGUGUGACCAUCUCCGACCAGCUGCACCCAAACGCAACAUGUUCCUGAGUGUCCACACGCUAAAAUAAUGACCCUGUACGGAUUAUCGUAUCAACCUGAAAAUGGCCUGCAAUUUCUUUAAGUAUUGUACCGUUGAAAUGAUAUCAUUAGGAGCAUGCGAGGGAGCCAACGGUAAGGCACAUAUUUCAACACGGAUAUGUCCCUUAAGAUUGGGUUGAAUGCCUACCAAUCAUUCCCCAAUUUUUUUAGUAUACUAGUUGGCGGUGGUAAAUUAAAUGCUAUAUGAAGAGUUUGCCAAAUCAAAUAUGCAAAAGGACAUAGAAGGAAAAAUAUUUUGAAUUGUCUCCUCUUGAUCAAAGAAACAACAUUUUUGCAUUCGUGCCAAUUGCACUUGCCCUAAGUUGUCAUUGGCGAGAAUGACCCCACACUGCAAAAGUCAAAUGCAAAACUUAUUUUUUUAUCGGAACUUCGAUCUUCCAAAUAUGUUUUGCGCGAAAGCUUUGCCAUGUGUUCAUUAGAUCCGCAUAGAUGGACUUGACCGUGAAGGCGCCAUUAGUAUUCAACCUCCAUUGAGAACCAUCUAGUGCAUGUGUUAGGUUCACUGACAUCAACCUUCGCACUAACUGUAGCCACGAUGUCUAUUUCCCCACGAUCAAAACCCUAUAAGGUGAAUAUUAAGAUGACUCGCCCCAAAAACAUGCAACACAUGCAUUCUUUCUCUGCAGAAAGUCUUUAUCCUUUGAUUGCGUAAGUGUUAAAGAAAUGAGAAAGUAUCCUAUAGAGACCAUUUUUAGGAAAUGGUAUCAAGAUGGACCAUGAGAUCAUCAUCUCACUAUGAGACAUGACAACGCAUCACAUAAGAAUCAUGGGCUAAUCCCUUCCAUCCAACAGGAACAUAGAUAAAUCUUAGGUCAAAAUCAAUAGCCGCUAGCACAUUUUGUGUGGGAAUAGACAUUCUACACCUGAACAUAUCAUGCAUGUGGAUAGGUACACAUGCCGUUUUAUGAAUACCAUCUAGGACACAUAUGCAUCCGUGCGAAAAAGAGAGAACUAGUUUUUAACAGGCUGAAUGGAACCUAUAAAUGUUGCAAAGGUUAGUGAAUAAUUUUGGAUGUGCCUCUUUGGGGCAAGGGGUGAGUUUAGAUUGAAUGAAAUAGAGUCACUUCCUUCUUGGCACAUGCCCUAUCCCUACGAGCACCUUCGACAAAUCAUGAGAUUGACGAAGUUGGCACAUGCACCUCGUAGUCGAUGAAAAUGUCUCUUCCCACUAAAUGCACAUAAUCGAAAUUCAUGAAUGAAAUAAAUUCAGAAAAAUACAAGCAUCCAUACCAAGUCCAUGGAUUUGAACACGGUUGGGAUGCUUUCACCAUAAGAAACAUAACCAUGCUCAGUUUGUACUAUGACAACAAUUUUAAUCACCUGACCUUAGAUAGUGUGGUGAAAAAAGAUGGCAAAAUUAGUAUAUGAACCAAACAUGCCCGUAGAAUGGACAGUAUAUUUCUCAUUUCCCUCACAAAAAUUAUAUUUCUCACUUCUAAUAUGACAACAGAAAGUAAAAUAGUACUUCCUCCGUCCGGAAAUACUUGUCAUCAAAAUGGACAAAAAAGGAUGUAUCUAGAACUAAAAUACAUCUAGAUACAUCCCUUUUUAUUCAUUUUGAGGACAAGUAUUUCCGGAUGGAGAGAGUACUAUAUACACAACGUAAGAUAAAUAUAUUAAGUACUGUAUACUACUCCCUCCGUUCCUAAAUAUUUGUCUUUGUAUAGAUUUUAACAAGUGACUACAUAUGGAGCAAAAUGAGUGAAUCUACACUUUAAAAUAUGUCUAUAUAUAUCCGUAUGUGGUGUCCAUUUGAAAUCUCUAAAAAGACAAAUAUUUAGGAACGGAGGGAGUAUGAUUCUUGCAUGCCGUGCACGUAAUGGCGGUCAAAGUUUGAAAAUACAGUACUGAUAGCACGCAUAAUAAUGUGUCAUAUUCAUGGACAGAUCAAGUCUCUUGAGUUGGUCACCAAACAACACGACCCCGUAUUUAGAGGGCAUUUAGACCUGGCUAAGGUCUCGCUGACUUGACCACUGACAACUGGCUGGUCGACCCAUGGCCGUCACCACCAGGCCGGGCCCCACCAGAUGAGGACGCGUUGACCAGUCAGCGUCCGGUCAUCAGGGGGCAAGGGCAGCCGUCCACGUGCCCUGCGCGCCAAAUCUGACGGUAGGUCGUCGCCACUGUCUUUUAAUGGAAUCCCUCCCGACUGCCAGCUGCCGGCCCAGGAGAAGCACCGAUGGAAAAGCUUCGCUUUGGAGCACCCCACUAACAAUAGCGAGGAAAAACAGGGUGGCAAAGGAUUGGACUGAUCCAUCGGUUUGGGUUGUUGUUUGGUGGAAAGAAGCGAGCGAAUUCGCGCGGUUUUGGAUGGCGCCGAGGUGAAAGCUUCGGCCGUGCGGAGAAAUUUCAUCAAAUUUUGGUGGCGGUGGAGGAGGAAGCUGCGAUCUUGGCGAGAAAUUUCGGAGGCUGCGACUACCGACUAUAUCGGCGAGGAAGUCCGGGUAAGGAAGGGGGGAGGAGGGGGAGGUGAGGCGCGCGAUGCUGCGGUGGCUGGCGCGGCCGGCUGAGCGGUGCCUGGGGCGCGGCGGCUGCGGUUGCGGUAGCGGGGCAGGCGGGGGAGGGGACGGGUUGCUGUGGCACGCGGAGCUGAAGCCGCACGCGUCCGGGGAGUACUCCUUCGCCGUGGCGCAGGCCAACGAGAGGCUGGAAGACCAGGGCCAGGUGGUGACCUCGCAGGCGUCCACAUUCGUCGGGGUGUACGACGGCCACGGCGGGCCCGAGGCCUCGCGCUUCCUCUCCUCCCGCCUCUUCCCGAACCUCCACAGUGAGUGCGCCGCUGUAUAAACUCCAUUUACGAGCGCUUUUCUUUUUAGAUUUAGCUUAGACUUCCUGUAAGUAAUUUGCUGAAAUGGACUAGAUGACUAAAUUCUUGAUGUUCUACACAUGUUUCUCAAAGUAGUACUGUGAGUUUGAACCAAAUGUCAUGGUGGUUUGUUUAUANNNNNNNNNNNNNNNNNNNNNNNNNNNNNNNNNNNNNNNNNNNNNNNNNNNNNNNNNNNNNNNNNNNNNNNNNNNNNNNNNNNNNNNNNNNNNNNNNNNNNNNNNNNNNNNNNNNNNNNNNNNNNNNNNNNNNNNNNNNNNNNNNNNNNNNNNNNNNNNNNNNNNNNNNNNNNNNNNNNNNNNNNNNNNNNNNNNNNNNNNNNNNNNNNNNNNNNNNNNNNNNNNNNNNNNNNNNNNNNNNNNNNNNNNNNNNNNNNNNNNNNNNNNNNNNNNNNNNNNNNNNNNNNNNNNNNNNNNNNNNNNNNNNNNNNCCUCAUGUAGAUUUUGUUUUCUUUUGUUUCACUUUGAUUGCCCCAAAUGGCCUAAUGAUGGAUGCUGUUAGCUCUAUCUGAUCACACUGUUAUGUGGUUAAUUUACACACUUUUUGCUGAAUAUGUUCUCUAGUUAAACCGAGUUUGCACAUUCAUUUAGCUAAACAGUCUUGUGGUCUGAACCAUGACAGAGUUUGCAUCAGAGCAAGGAGGCAUGUCCAUAGACGCUAUCAAGAAGGCAUUCCAUGCUACAGAAGAGGAGUUCUUGCACCUAGUCAAGGGGACAUGGCUCAAACGGCCAAAGAUCGCCUCAGUCGGCUCAUGCUGCCUUGUUGGAGCAAUUGCCAAUAAUAAACUGUAUGUCGCCAAUUUAGGCGACUCGAGAGCCGUCCUUGGUCAUAGAGGACCCAAUGGCCGGGGAGUAGUGGCCGAGAGGCUGUCUAAUGAUCACAAUGUUGCCGACGAGGCGGUAAGAAAGGAGCUCAUUCAGCAGCAUCCUGAUGAUUCGCAAAUAGUCGUCUACAGCAGGGGCGUUUGGCGGAUUAAGGGCAUCAUUCAGGUACCAAUCAGCAAAUCAUGUUAGUUUGGAUCCUUUUCAGGUGCAUCCGUGCAUGGCAUUCUAUUUGCAAUCAUGUUUUACAAACAUUAUGUGACAGUUGGCUGCUAUUAGAAAAUCUAGUAGGCAAGGUGGUCUCCAGAAUUUGUUAGUAGUUAAUUAACAUGUCAAGAACAAUCAUAGCAUGCCCGCAAGACGGAUAAAUGGCGUACUGCAAAACAGAAUUACAUCUCAGCAUAGGUGACCUGGUCCUAGUCUCUUGUAAUUCAGAAGUGUUUGCAGAUAAUGCAAGUGAAGUCUGAUGUUAUUCUAGAAAAUCUAGAACGCCGAGUCCAUGAGCGCAUGCCUUAUUCAGUUUAGAUUUUGGGAGGAUUUUACUACUCUUCAUGAACCUCACUUGAUGAAAACAUUAAACUCCAUCCUGAAAUUGAUAUCGCAUGUACUAGAUCUAUGUCAUGAUGCCCUAAAUUAUUUACUCAGAUAAAGGCAACAGUCUAAUUCUGAUUGGACGUUGCCUUGGUUUCAUGUUCAGUAUACAUGGACACAUCUGUUCUCGAUGUCAUAACAUAGAUUCCAAUGCUCUUUUGCAAAGCACUCCUCGAUCCAAUACCACCAUAGGAAUAUAUUCUUAUGUUCCAAAAAGUCAGCAACUUAAAUUGCUUACGCAGUGUGGCAAACCCAUAUUCUAAAGCCAUUGUCUCCUUUUUGUAUUUUUCUAAAGCCUACAGUUAGUCGAUCUCAUCUGGGCAAAUACUACAUGAUCUAAGAAAAGAUGCCACCGGUUGCCUGCAUUAGUUAUCAUCACUAUGCUUUGUAAUGUUCCUUAAAACUAUAAAAGCAGUUCAAGACGACAAACCUGCUUUCACAGUGACAGUCAUGAUCCACACUCGACAUUAUUAUUUCUUUGAUGCUUUCAGAUUUCCAGAUCAUUUGGGGAUGCCUACCUGAAGAAACCUGAAUUUGCCAGAGACCCUGUAUUCCAGCAAUAUGUGUGUCCUGUACCGUUGAAGCGGGCCGUCAUAACAGCUGUGCCAUCGAUCAAAGUACGCCAGAUAGGGCAGCAAGACCUCUUUGUAAUAUUUGCAUCGGACGGUCUGUGGGAGCAGUUGACCGACGAAGCGGCGGUGGAGAUCGUCUUUAAGAACCCGAGAGCGGUAAGCCAAGCUCAUUUAACCUCGUCACGGGGAACAGCUAUACGCUGUUCCAUUGAUGCAGAAUAUGAUGUGUUGUUGUGUGGAAAAUGCAUGUGCUUAGGGAAUAGCGAGGCGACUGGUGAGAGCGGCGAUCUCUGAAGCCGCGAGGAAAAGAGAGAUGAGGUACGCCGACAUGCAACACAUCGAAAGAGGGAUCAAGCGGCAUUUCCACGACGAUAUCACGGUUGUGGUGCUCUACCUUGAUAGUCACAAACAAGACGCGCAAACAAAGUUCGGUGGCCUGGACAGUUUCAGGUUCACCAAUGCACCGGUGGACAUAUUCUCGCCCUCAGGCCGAACCGUGGAACCGACGGUGCUGUGAGCUAGUGUUGUGUCUUCAGAAGGGAUAAUAGAUGAUAGUGAAAGGAAAAGGAACAAACCAGACGAAAUUUGAAGUCACCUAGACCGAGCCAAGCACAUCUUUUUGUGCAUAUACUGUGUGUGUGUAAUCAAAGCCACUCUAGGUAAGCUGAUGUCUCUAGACAAGAAUUCCAUUGCAGUUGGAGACACUUUGUGUAUCGGUUAUGCAAGAUCAGAUUCCCCAAGAAAAGAGAAAAGGAAGGGGAAAUCUAAAGAUUGUUCUCAGGAUCCUUUGCAUGCAUCGCAAGCUAGGGACUGUUUGAUCAUGAAGCUUUGUUCGCCACUGUGAUUCGUGGGUCCAGGAUUCCAGGGGGGAAAAUAACACAAGAUUGCUUAGAUUUGUGUGGGCGCUAGUACUAGUGUAGCAUCGCCGUAUGGGCAGCCUACUGACUGUCAGCUGCCGCAAAAGAAGAGCCUUCCCAGCUUUUGCUCCUUUUCUUUAGCUGGCAUUGGUGUCUUCUCCUUGUUGCAUCAUGGCCUUGCUUGAGUAGAGUGUUAUUCUUUACUUUUUCAAGUCAAGUAGAGUGCCGCUGAUAUUGUAGUCUUUUGUGUGAAAUCCCAAUAUCCCAUGUCCCAAUGGUGGUUUCAUAUUGCGGCCUGUGUGUAAUUGUUCAUUGUCUUUCAUAUAGCUUACCACUUGCCAAGUGGUGGCCUGUGUGUAAUCUGGUUUCACAAAUUUGUGAUUGCAAUAGGGUGAAAUUGCUCAGCCUCCCAAGGCACAGCCAUGAGUCAUGAACAGCUGUGAUGGUGGUUUCGUAGUGGGCAUCGUUUUAGGUACACACUCCUAGUAGGUCUACUUUUCCGUCUAGAAAAUCUUUGCAAACAUCCCAAUCAAAUCCUAACGAAGUAUCAACAGUUUUGGAGGAUCAAGCAGGCAACACACUACAACAUUUGCCUAGCGUAAUGCGUGAUCACAUUUGGUUUUGGAUUUAGCACCCUGCAGAGCAAUGCGUGUCACAAGAUCUGAAGACGCUCAACAAAACUGUAAUUUGAAUGAAACAGCACCAACCAAACAAUCUGUAAAUUCAUAACGAUAGAAAACAACCAUGCUUCGAGAUUGACUCAUAAUAAUCAUGCGCACUAUAUAACACACAUCAAAAGUAUCCAUUGCAAAGCAACAGUAUCAACCUAGUGACGAUUUAGAGAGCAUGGUAACAAGAUGAUAAUAAUCAUGGGAAGGAAGAUAGCAAGCAACAGUGUGCUGCGGAUCAGAUGCAGCUCACAGGGUCCAAGCAAAAAUUAGUGGAGUAGGCCUAGUAGUUGGAACAGUGGCGCCGACGGUAACAGUGGUAAUAACAGUGGCAGCGGUAGUAACAGCGGACGGUGGACAGCCUGACGAGUGACCCCACCCUCCAUCCUCAGGUCGCUCAGGCAAACGCCGGGCCCAGCGUCAGCGAAACAAGAACCAGCAUCAGCAGCGCCGUUCCUCCCGUGGCCUUGUGGUGGUCUCGCGCCGCGUCACU